Molecule: long non-coding RNA, 54864 nt
Filed under: Coffea arabica (coffee)
Lineage: Eukaryota; Viridiplantae; Streptophyta; Magnoliopsida; Gentianales; Rubiaceae
Description: long non-coding RNA (CARA_LNC001019)
Source: RNAcentral
CUUUUUUUUUUUUUUUUUUUUUUUGGCUUCUUUUAUUAUCUGUAAUAGUCUUGGAGUUCUUGGAAUUAAUACAGAAAUUAAUGGGGUAGAGAUGAAAUCACGGAGAGCAAGUGAUGUGGUCCAUCAAUAGUUGAUUCCUGCAUGUCUUUUCGUGUUAUUUCUUCAACCAAAAAAGGAGGAGUCAAAAGAAUUAGUACUAAUAGACAACAAGUUGGUUGAAUAAGUUGCUCAAAGUAACGUUGGAAAUUGACAUAAUUUAAAUUAGCAGCUAGCCUGAUCUUGAUCUCACGAGAACCGUCAUUCAAUGAAAACUUUUUGCAUGGACGCAGAUCCAUCGGCAGUUCUCUUCUGCUGCUUCUUUCUUUUAGCCGUCUAAUUAUUCCUCAAAGCAAUUUCGUUUCUUUUUUCCCUUCUCUUUUUCAAAACUUGCCUGUCUGGCUCUACUAUUCUUAUCCUCCUUCCUUUUUUUUUUUUUACACCAGCAAAUUUAUUUAUUUAUUUUUGGGGUUUUGGGUAUGUAGGUAGCUGGGCUAGCAACGUUGGGUAUGAAUCUAAAGGAGAGAUGGAUGUUGCAUGUUGGUGCAGGUGACAUAAAGAAUUUCAAGUCCAACCUUAGAUUAAGAAUUUCUGUUCAUUACUUUUCCUUUUAUCUAAUUAACAGAAGAUUCCUUUUCCCGAGUUUUUGUCUUCUCUAGGAAAAGGUAAUAAGGAGACAGCGGAUAAGCUGUGAGAGGAUGAGAAGAACGGAAGAGGAAGAGGAAGACUACUGGGUAAAGUAUCUCCUAUCACAUAUACGGUACUACUACUUAAUUAGUACCGUAUAAUAAUAAUUAAAUAAAAAGGCACUGCAUCUUCCAUCUUCAAUCCGCAUCCAUCCCUAUUAACUUCAGUCGUUUUUGCAUUUAUAUAAAAUGCGUGAAGAAACUACCAACUGUCUGUACUACCAUCCCUCUACCAACCUAACCCAUUAUUAUCUUCGUCAUGAGCUACCCACCCAACCAACAGAACCCCCCCCCCCCCCCCCCGGGGCGGAGACCCACAAAAACCAAAAUAUGAAGGAAAAAAAAAGGGGUGGGGGUGGGGGGGUUUCCAAACUUCGUCCUAACACAUAAGUUGACACACGUCUGGAAAUUAAAACACUAAUAGGGAGAUUUAAUUAAAACCUCUCGUGAGUGUGUGUGUGUGUGUGUGUUUUUUUUUUUUGGUUCCUCCCUUUUCUGCAUUUAGAUUAGCAAGCAUUCCGAGUAGACUUAUGAUUUGAUCCACUGUCAUCGACGGUUGAUUCUCUCCUGUAGUAAUAGUAAGUAUUCCAAGAUAUAUUGAUGCGCGCGUUUACUAGUUAAGUUACUACGAGUGAUAAAUGUUUGCAUGUCAUAUGGUUAUUACGAGUUUGGGAUUAAAAUUUAUAACGCUUUUUUUUAAAAAAAAAAAAAAAACCUUUUGGAAAGACCAACUUCUUUUGUUAAGUACGAAUGGUUUUUUCCUCGAUGAAGCUAAAUAACGCUGCACGGAGGAAAGCAGAAUUUGCUAUACUUUCUGGAACCUAAUGCUCGCUUUGCCUAUGCAAUGCAAGGGUUCCUCUUCCCCCUUCCUUCCUCAUGAUGAAAGCUUGCAAAAAUCCUGUACUCUUGGCAUAAAGCAGCUGCGGUCAAAACGAGAAUAGGAAAUUGAGGGUGGAAAACAUACGCUCACUUGAAUAGGUGAUCGAUCUGCACAGUCUUAUAUAUCAUUCUAAAAGCUUUUUCGCAAGUUUUAGUCAUCUUCAUGACUUCAUCUUCUUCAUACUGCUUGACCAACUAAAGAAAAGUUUUAUUUACUUUAAGCAUUAACUAGUCGGGGACUUGAAUGUAGCAAAAGUAGUAUCGUGAUCCUGCAACCUAAGUUUUCUUCAACUGAAAAUAUAUUCUUAUUUAGGAAAAUGGAAAAAAAAAAAAAGAAGAAGAGGAGGAAAUUAAGGUGGGAAGGAAGAAGAACAAUUACUAUAUAAGAGCGAAAACAACAUGUUUAAAAUGAAAAAAAGACUAAUUUUGGAUGCUCAGCUCAGCUAUGUAUUAUCUUAUCCCCAUUAGUAUGUAUGUAUGCAUGGAUGCAUGGAUAGAUUAUUUUGGUUUUCAGGGUCUUCCCUCUCUUCGUCUGGCCUAAGUAAAAGGGUAAAAACUAAGAGAGGCCUUGAAAAAAAGGGAAAACAAAGGCCCCUUGGCAUUGGCAUAAUUGUGGAAAAUUCACAAGGAGACGAUUCAUACACCUAGGACUAGUGUACCUUUUUAUUUUAAUCCUUUCUUUCCUCCAAUCCUUUACCCUUUUUCAAAGGUGUUAGGUAGACACAUUAGAAGCUUCCAUAAGAUAUUUUUUUUCCUCUCACUUUCACUACCCAAAGAAAAAUUGCUUAACAAGGCUUAGGGGGCCUAUCUUUUUCUUUCUUUCUUUCUUUUGUCAAAAAAAUAAUAAUAAUAAUUGCAUGCCUCUCUCUCUCAAUGUAUUAAUGGGGUAAUUAUUGUUCUCUACCUAAAUAUACAAGUUCGGAGUCCCCAGCUCCCCGCCAACAUCACAUGCAGGACCCUCCCCCCCCAUCAAAGAUCAAAGUAUCUAUAUAACCACUCAUUCAUUUCGCCAUUAAUUAAAGCUGCAUGAGAUUUGUUUUGUCAUCAUAGUUUAGUACUUACUACUGAGUGUCUGAUUAGAUUGGAACGGCCAACGCACCAUGCAAACAAUACAUGCAUCUUCUAUCCUCCCUUCAGCAUCCAAAGAAUACGUUUUGACUUUUUGUCCAUCCUUCCCUGAGGCCCCCAUAGAGGACAUGGGACGUCUCAUAACGACUAGCGCAGGUUUGAUUGGAGCAUGCAAUGGAAGUUUGAUUGGAGCUAGCUCGCGCAGGUUUAAUUCUUUUGACAACGGAAACUUUCUUUAACCAUAAGUUGUUGCGUGCAUGGUCAAAUGGAUUAGACCCGUCUGCUACUACUCACAGUGUUUGAUUUUUAAUUCUUGAAAUCCGCUCCUCUUCCACACCAUCCUCACAAUAAUUAGCAAAGAAAGCCAAAAAAAAAUGAUACUACCAUCCUUGGUUUAGUUGGGGCCGUAGCAAGCGAGAGAUGAUUUAAAGUAAACAAAGCACUUGUGGACUAUCAUCAUUGACGAUGAUGAGAGUGACUUGGUACUUAAAAUUACCUCAGGGUACGUUUGGUUCUACAGAAUUAGAAUUGAAAUUCUAUAGAAUUGGAAUUCUAUGAAUUGAAAUUUCAAGUCAUUGAAAUUCUUUUGUUUGGGAAAUACAUAGAAUUGAUAUAGAAUUCAUUCAACGAAUUUGCUUAUCUUAUCGGCCAAAUCUCCCACGCUGUUGAUGUAAACUUGUCAGCUUUUUUUUUUUUUUUUUUUUUUACUUUUCUUCGCCACAACCGGAAAAACAAAUAUCGGUCCUCAUGUUGUUGUUGCGUGCUUUCCUUUUCUUUACCACGUUUCGUUUUUGGGUUUUUCUUGGUAGGGGGCCGGGGGAGAGGGGGCGGGGUGUGGGUUGAGUUGCUCGCCCAGCCCAUUCCCGUUCGGGGCUCCACUUCUCAUGGGCUCGCUUGCGGCGGAGGGUCCCAUCCCAUCAGCUGACGCCACCCCCAACCCUCUUCAGACUUCAGAGCGUAAAAGUCCAUGGUACCCGCCGGUACAGUAAGUUUCUGCCUUAAAUUGCCCAUUCGAUUUCCGUACCACCACCGGGACCCACGUCAAAGUUUGUUAGUGAAGCGCUUUGCCGUUACUUUAACAAGGGGAGCAUUAUAUUUAUUUACUUAUUUUAUUGCUAAAAGCAGACCCAUAUUGAUCAGAAAAAAAUAUGAGUUAGGUUAGGUGAAAAAGACAGAGCAGUAGAGUCCAGUCGACCUGAGGACGAAGACCAUAUAUUUGCUAAUUUCAUGCUCAGCUAAACUGCUAAAGUGACAUUUUAUUAUUAUUUUUCCUUUCCCCUUCCGCCUAUUCCGCGACGUGCCUCAUUUUUUAUUUUUAACUUUUUACCAACUGGGCUGCUUCGUAUGCUACUACUAGAACCCAAAAUUCCCGCCUACUCUUGAUAUUUUAAUUUUAAUCAUUAGAUCAAGUAUAUCUUACCAUUAUUAUUAGCUAAAAUUUGGACACUUAUUUCUUUUAAAUAAUGUAGCCGCUAACACUCUCUUUUUUUUUUUUUUUAUCAGCAACGAUAUAUUUGUAUAACCUAUUCUAUCCUAAUCUAGGGGGAGGGGGAGCCUAAGGAGGCUGUUGUAGGAGCUAACGGAUAUACAAAUCCAACUAGACCAAGGGAAUGUUAUGGUACAACUCUUAGAUUUUUUUCGCUGCUGGUGAGGUUUGAACUCUCACCAACAGUCCAAGGAAGGACUUAAAUCCCUCCCUGGUGGCCACUGAGCCAUUGGCGCAGUGGUUAGCCGCUAACACUCUCACCCCUUUCGAUCAUUGAAAAUUCUAUCCGUUUGGAUUAGCUGUUUUUGGGGUUGUUUUUCAAAAACAGCACUGUAGCAUUUCGUUUUUCAAAUACAAGUCCGUUUGGAUUAGUUGUUUUUGGGGUUGUUUUUCAAAAAUUAUAUAAAAAACUUUUACUGUAGAUGUUUUAUGCAUUAUUUUUAGAUGUAUUUUUAAAACAUAUUUUCGAGUAUUUUUAUAAUUUAUAAUUUUUAUAUUUUUAUAACAAUAUAUAAUUAUACAUUUAUAAAUAUUUAUAAAUAAAUAAAUUUAUAUAAAAAUAUAUAAAUGUAUUAUAUUAUAUAUAAUACAUAAUAUAAAUAUAUUUAUAAAUGUAUAAAUUAUAAAUGAAUAUUAUAUAAAUGUAUAAAUUAUAAAUUAUAAAUUUUAUAUUUUUAUAUUUAUAUACAUUUAUGCAUUUAUAAUACAUUUAUUAAUAUUUAUAAAUAAAUAUAUUUAAAUAUUUAUAAAUAAAUAUAUUUGUACUUUUAUAAAUAAAUAUAUUCAUAUAUUUAUAUAUAAAUGUAUUAUAUUAUAUAUAAUACAUAAUAUAAAUAUAUUUAUAAAUGUUUAAAUAUAUUUCGAUCAUUGAAAAUUCUAUAUUUUUGACAUACAUCAAGGUAAAUUCAUUGGAGAAAUAAAGGUUGAAGAGUGUGUGUGUAUUACAAUGGGAUUAAUCCAAUACAAUUCUAUUUCUGAUGAUGGUAUAUCAACUAUUAGUAUAUCUUUUUGACAAAAUACACACACAUACUAUAUAUAUAUAUAUAUAUCAAGUAUUAUACUAUGAAAUGGUCUGGAGGUCCCCACUCACACAGCUUCACUUAUGCACAUGAUGACUACAUGACAAAAAGAGUUGUUACAAAGCAUACGUACCUGAGACGGUAACAGGCCUCACGUCCACUUUUAGCAGUGCCACGUAGAAUAUGGUAAAUCUCUGACUAUAUCUUAUCAUUAAAUUUUUUUUUCUCCUGCUCAUCGGAGAGUGGGUGAGGAUCUAAUUAUUCAGGCCCAGAAACAUCACAUUUAUCGCAGAGUUCACAAGUAGUGUUCAUAGGGCCUAGAAUAGGUUGUGGCUGUGGUUUUGCGACAGGAAAGGGGAAUGGUUGUACAGACAAGUGGUAGGCAAUGGUCCUGGCGGGGAUGGGGGGAGGGGGGGAGUUGGUCAUUUUGUUGGCAUGAUCGACGGGGACUGCCAGACCUUUGUCUAAACAAACAAACAAACAAACAAACAAAGCUAAAAGGAGAACAAAAAAACAUGAGCUGCAGCUGCCAAAGAAAAAGACAACUUUUUGCCUCAACCUAUUACGGGUCCUGGGAUCAAAGCUCUUUGCCUCAACUUAUUAAGCCCCGUUUUCUUUUAUUUAAAGCUUAUUAAGCUCCUAAAGUAACCGAAUAUAGGAUUUUGGAAGGAAGGCUUUUUGAUAUCAAAAAAUUAUGGACGCAAUGCAAAACCUCCCAAGCCAAUUUUAAGUGAUUAAAACUUUACAAGCGGAACCAAGCUCUUAUUGGUAAUACCCCAAUACUGCUACUGCUUACUAUAUGUAUGUUCCAUAGGGUAGCGUAGGGUAGGAUACGGAAGAGCUGUCUAAUCUAAUCACAAUGUUCGAGUUUGCUUCCGUUUUGGUCAUACUACUGCAUGAUACCGACUACAUAUUGCUAAUGUCGCAAAAAAAAUAAUUAAACUUACGAGCCUAAUUCAAGUAGUAAACAAAAUCAAUUAGUCUAAAGAUACAAUAACGAUUGGAGCAUCUCUUUCUUUACCUUCCCCCUUCUAGAAACCACUUGGGUGGAGAUUUUGCAUUGGGUAGGUGGGCAGGAUUCUUGUGAUCCUUCCCCCAAAUGCACCUGCACCUGCUACUUUACUAAUUGAACCUCCAAAACCUACACACCACAUCCUCAAUAAUAAUCAUCAUCAUCAUGAAUGCAUAAAAACUACUACUGCACACUUGUUUUUUUUUUUUUUUUAGUUUAAAAUAAAUAUGGGGGUUCUCUCUUGUCAUAGAUCUCCACACAGGAUUUCUGGCUCUAAAUUAAUAUCCUGCAUGCUACUACAAGUCCAAUUUUAUCUCUUUAAGAGAUCUCGGCCAAAGGGUUAGGUGAGAGUUUAAAAACGAUGGCAUGAAUUCAUCUUCGUUCGAAGGUUGGAAGCAGUGUUUUGAAAAUCGGACCGGCCGGUUCGACCGAUUGAACCGCAAACCGGUCAUGGUACCGGUCCGGUUUAAUGCUAGGGUUGACUUUGGCAGAAAAUCGGUCAAAAACCGAUUGAACCGCGAAAACCGUCGAACUGAAUUUGAACCGGCGGUUUCCGAUUUUCAAGUUUUCCUCUUUUUUUUUUUUUUUAGUUUUACAAAAUGCAACUAUCAAGAUUUAAACUCAAGACCUUUGUAAUAGAAGACCAAUGUAGUAACCAUUGCACCAUCACAUCUUAUUAAUUUUUUUUGAUAACUUAUUUAUAUAAAACAAAUACUCAUAUUUCUUUUGUUCCAUUUUUCUUGCAAAAUCUCAUCCUCUCAUGACUCUUUUUUUUCUAAUUUUCAACUCUCUCUCUCUCUCUCUCUCUCUCUCUCUCUCUCUCUCUCUCCAUCAUCUUUUCUUUUGUCACUCUUUUUUAAUCAAACCUCUUUAUUUUUAAUUUAUUGAUGUUUUCUUCCAUCUUUUAAUUUUGUUUUUGUCCAUUAAAUUAAAAAAGUUAAAAAAAAUUAUUUUUCUUUAACUCAAAUUAUUUAAUGCCACAACCACUCACUUUUAUCUCAUUUUUUUGUUUCUUAUCAAAUUUGCAUUUCUAUUUUCGAUUCUCUUUUUUAAAUUGCAAUAUCUAAAUUCCAAAACGUAAAAUAAAAUUUAAGUUCACAAUGUCUAAAUUCUCAUAGACGUGAAUUUUGUAUAAUUUUAAAAUAUUGUGAUAUUUUUGAAUUGGAUUUAAGAUUUUUUUGAUAGAUAUAAUUGAAAUUGACAUGAAAUUUAUUUGUUUUAACUUAUAAUUUUAAAAUUUUAUUUUUAAAAAUCCAAAUUAUUCAAAAAUAGUAAACUUUUCAUCAUAUAAAGUAUUAAAUUAUCCAUUACAUGUCUUAUUUUGUGCAUAUAUAUAUUUAUAUAAAUUAUUUUUUAAAAAAUUCAUUGAACCGAGGUUGAAUCGGUUCGAUCGAUUGAAUCUCGACCCUUUUACUUCACCGGUUCAAUUAACCGGUCCGAUUUUUAAAACAUUGGUUGGAAGUUGGAACUUGGAAGGAGCAGCGGCCAGUACCGUUGUAGAUCCUCUUUUCUUCUUCUUCUUGGAAGAAAUGGGAUUCAGUGAUGAAUGAUAUUAUUAUUACACAGAUUUCACAUCUAAUACUUAGUGCCUCCUCUUUAGUCUUUUCAACCAAAUAACGUCUUGACUUUUCGAGGAUUAUUUUUUGACACGUUUUCAACUACUUUUUAACUUGUUCCUGAUACUCACAACUUCAAAAGAAAUUUUUCUAUGAAAACCUUCCAAAAGUCUCGAGAACUACCAUUCAAACAUGCUUUAAAAUUUUCUUCUGGAUGAGGCCGCGUGGCUUUCAAUUUCUAGGAAGCCCUAAAACUGAUCCUGAUGAAACAAAAAAAGUGGAAAUUGAGUUUUUUUUUAAAAACUGAAGGAAGGAAGGAAUAAAAUAUAUAUAUAUUUUUUUAAAAAAAAUGUGAAAUCGAGUUUCACUUUCCUGCUCUUCCAACAGAUGAGAUCACAGGAUAAGAGUUGAAAUCAUCUGUUGAUGAUAAAAAAGUAACCGUCACCAAAUUUGGAUGAGGAAUGUGAGGUCAUCAAAGGCAGACGGACUGAAAAUGCGCAUGCGGCGCGCACGAUAGCAGGAGCCCAGCCGGUGAGAGUAGUUAACGAGUUUGGUGAGAUAUGAUGAAAGUGAUGGGGCCCACACAAACAACAAAGCAGUGAUUACGGUCCGGAGCAGCACGGCCAACGGUUGACUCCUGACUAUCGAUGUUGACUUGUUUAUAUUAUCAUCGAUUCCAUGAUUAAUGUUUGCCUUUCAUGGCAGUCGGUCAUCUCAUCUUCUUCUUCUUCUAUUCUAAAAGUAAUCAGCCAACUCCGUCGGCUACCUUAGUAGUGGUAAAACACACAGAAAAUCGCAGCAGCAAUGCAGCCUUCUGAUCUAGAGGAUCCUCCCACGUCGUAAUAAUAGAUUCUAAUGAGUUUGAGUUUGAAAUUUUAAUACAUCUAAUCGUGAUAAUGAAAUUAAUUCUUAUGUUAUUAUCAGGGCACAAUAUCAUUAACUAAUGAAAAUACUCGAAGUUUUUUGUGUUUUUCUUCAUCCCUUUCUUGGCGUCAACAAGAGAGCUCUGUGCCAUUACAGAAUCCAACCAACCGAGUUCACGGAAAAUUGUGUUUUGAGAAUUUCACGGGAUGGAUUGAGAAAUUUGACGAAGGUUUUGAAAUCCAUCCAAAUUGCUCUGGUUGUUUGAAUUACUUAAGAGGUAAUUUGGGCUUACAAUUUAUCAAUUAUAUAAAUACAUUCACUUUAAAUGCUAGAAUAAUGAGUGAUUUAUAAAUUCAUAUACCUCCUCCCAAAUAAUCUAAACAACUAGAAAAAAUUCGACAAGAUCGAUUAUCACUCAAUCGAAACGCAUGCGUUUCAUGCUUUAAAAGUUUAAAACCCGUCAUCACACAAGUAGCUAAAAACGGCGGGACCACAGAAAGCAUUUCAUUGCGGAGCAAACAAAAGGUCUGGCAAAGAUAACCACAAAUCUGUGAGGAUGAAGCAGUCCAAACAAGGCUGCUAGCGAAUUACGCAAGACAAGAGCUUGGAGAUUGCAAGAUUCGCAGGGUGGGGGUGAAGGAAAUGAUCUUCACUUCAUGUGGAAAAUUGAGAGUUGAAAAAAAAAAAAAAAAAAUCUGCAGUUCGAAUCCUCGAGCACCUGCUUCAGCGUUAAUGCGGGUUCCGGUUCUGGCAUUAAAUUAAAUAGAUAGUGAAACGUAAUUAAUUGGGCUACCAUACUUUUAGUAAUUAAUUGGAAAACUAUGGCACACCAACUUUUAAGUGGAGUGGAUGUGUACAAUAUUUUAUACUACAAAAAAGUAACACAAAGAAACCAAUAAAAAAGAAAGAAAGAAAAGGUAUGUUGAAUUCGUCGGUUCAACUUGUUAACUUUCUUGCAUGUUUGGAUCUAACAGAGUCAGAUCCGAAGGGUGUUAACUCUAUUGUUUUGGAUGACGGUCGCCCUGGUUGUCCAGUUUGAUCUGUAGCCAUCCUUUCUUGAAGCCCAACAGCUGCAUUCAUGAAAUGGGCCACAGUGUUUAUGACACAUUUACCAGCACCAUGGAUCGGGAUGCCCAAAGGCAUAUGCUCUUCUCCCAAAUGGACUUUCAUGCUUUUAAGUGUGGCACAGAAUUAUGCUUCCCUACCCAAUCCUUUUUUUUUUUUAACGAAGAGAGCUCUGAUGAGGAAAGCAACCUCUCAAAACCAAGAGUGAGGUCGUCGCUUUACAGUUUGUAAUUUUCGGUUGGCUCUGGCCAUAAUUCCUUGGCGGGGUGCUUUCUAGCCCGCUCGUAUUGUAAAACCGAGCGCUGAAGUUCCCGGCGUGGCCAGUGCGCCUUAUUACUAAUGGGCUUUUUGUGUUUUGUUUGGGCCUUUACAUUUCAUUCGUUUGGGUAAUGCUUCAAUUUAUCUCUGGCUGCCGGGCGCAUCCCAAGCCAACGAAAAAAUUUGGGGGAGUGGCUUUUUCUUUUUGGGAACGGGGAGGGUGUGUUCGGAAAGGGGGAAAGCGCACGGUUAAAGACUUAGAAGGCUAUGCUCAAGCUCAAACCAAACUUCGAGUAUCAUGUAAAUUAUCUCAAGUAACACACUUCGAUGCAAAACAAUAAAAUGUUUGAUAAGAAAUAAAAAGACCAAAGUUUGUCACGUGAAAACGUUGUAGCGGUUGCUUGGAUCCUGCCUGAGAAGCCAGUACUUGACAAACAAGGGAUUAUGGUCUGAGCAAAUAACACAUAACAGAGUACAAAACACAGGCAUUUUCUAAGCAAAUAUUGCAGUCAAUCUAGGUUUCUUUUUGAGGAGCCUUCUUGGCAGCCUCUGCAGCUGCUUUCUCCUCCUCAAUUUCAGCAACAAUUGCAUCAAUUUCAGCUUCUUCAAGUUGCCUCAGCCCAUCUUUUUUCGUCAUCACAGCUACUUCUAUAUUCUUCCCACCACUCUCAACGACCUUAAUACAUGACAUUAACAAGUCAAAAGCGUGUGUAUUUAACUCAACAGAUCAAUAAUUUACUCCACAAAUAAAGCGACAAUGCCCAAAAAAAAAAACAAACGAAAGGCUAAAACCCAUCUGAAAAUGGUUAAAGGCAGCUUUUUUGGGCUCCAUUAUGGUAAUUAAACAUGUAAUCUGCUCAAUACGCUUUGUCACUCAACGUUGAACUAAGAAGUUCACGGUGGCAGUCUCAAAGGAAUUCAAAACGGAUUAUUAAAUAUAACAUUUCAAAAACUUUAUGAGCUCUGUAAAACAUUUAAUUGGUGCAGCUAAAUCAUGGUUAAAUAUGAAUGGGUCGAAAAAGAAGAGAGCAAUGCUGAAUUCCAAGGUGAUGGUCAUUACUGUGAGCACAAGAUGAUCACAAAUGGGUAACACAAGUAUUUAACAAAAAGAAUUCCCGUAAGACUGCAUUACUUGUUUGUUAACCAUAGCUGCUAGGAAAAAUUACUCCCUCAAGGACCUUUCUAUGCUUUAGGCUCACGGAAAUCUGGAAAGAGGAAUUGAGAGGGCCUUUUGCAAAGGAUGCGAGGAUGACAGUUGUUAUACAAUACAAUGAUCUUCUCAGAAAAAUCUAGGAUAAACAUAGGAGUAUUCACAACUACAGCAUAUGAAGCUUCCCUGUGCCUGCCAUGAAUAUAACAGCAGAACAAAAACAGGAGAUAAACAAAAAUUAGGAAGUCCAAAUUACAUUUACGUGAAAUGUACUGCUAUAUUCCAACAACACCCUAAACCCAUAAACCAAUUAGGCAUCCUUCCCUCUGUCCAAAAGGCCAGAAAAACAAAUGCAAACACAGGAUCAUAGAGCCAUCUUUUUUUUUUCCUCUUUUGCCAAUAAACCAUGACCAAAUUUAGCCUCAGAGCAUGAUAAGCAGGAGCUGCUUAAAAUUUACAAGAAAUUCCCAACAAGGGCAUGCCAGAGAUAUUUUGUUAUUUCAUUCAAUGAUUUUGCUUGUCAAUGCUUUAGGCAAUGCAAGUUGAGUUUUAAGUUGUAUCCAAAGUGCUCAAAAGCUUGCCUGUUAGAGAUGCACAAACCAAUACAGAUUUAAGUGGUUACAAGCAAAAGAAUAUAAGCCACAACCAUGUGCUUGCUAAGAAUAGUAGAUCAGAUGUUGCACAAAAUCCAAAUGAAAAGAGUUAAAAAGUCAUAGAGUAAUAUAGAAUAAGCCGAAAAAAAUUCCAAGACAGCAGCAGCAUACGACAAACAUAAACAAGGCAUUUGCUAUUUUGCUGGGAUGACUUACUUCAAGCAAUGCACGAAUAGCUAGUUUUACAGUUUCUUGGCCAGCUGUUUCCUUGUAAUUCUUCUCCAGAAACUCCCUGAUAGAGUUUGAGUUUCUCCCAGUUGCAUUGGCUUUCCACGCUGAAAAUGUUCCUGAAGGAUCUGUCUGAUAUAACGCAGGGACACCUGUGUAUGGGUCAAAGCCAAUUAUCAAAGUGGAAAGGCCAAAUGGUCUUACACCACCACUUUGUGUAUACUUCUGCUGAAGUCCAGCGAUGUAGCGCGUAAUAUACUCAACGGUGACCGGAUCCUCAACUGUAAGUCUAUGACUUUGACAUUCAAUACGUGCCCGGUUUAUCAAAACACGAGCAUCUGCUUUCAGUCCAGCACAGGCCAAUGCAAUAUGAUCAUCUAAAUUCACAAUCUUUCUAACCGAUCUGAAAAUAAGAACCACCAAUUAAAAAUAUUCAGCAAGAAAUCUAAGGCAGGCAGAGGGCAAACAAUAUAUAUAGUGCAACCAUGUUUCAAUAACUAAUAGCCAUUGCAUACUCACUUCAAACCUAAAAUCAUACUAAGCAAGAGAAUUAACAAGCAAUAAAACACACUCACAUGCACACAAAGAGGAAACGGGCUUAGCCAAGAAAUUUUGGCUGAUUAACACAAUUUCACAAGUACUUCAAGAAGAAUGAGCCAGGUUCCUCAGUAAUCAAUUUAUACACAAAUUAAAAAUUUUUCCGGAUUUGUUACCCCGGCUUCACCACUGCUCCCUAAAAUCAAAAAGCCCCCUUUUAUUUUUUCCAAGGCACUAAAAUCAAAAAGCUGACCGAGCACAGGUUAAUCUUUUUUUUUUUUUUUUUCCAAACGGAGAAUCAUUUCAGUACAAGAAAACCCGCAUCUUUCAUGCAGCCUUAAUCAAUAGAUCAGAUUAAAAUUAGAUUCCCUAGAAAAAAAAACUUCAAUUCCAAAACCCUAAAGCCUAAACCCAAAUUAGCUUGGUAACAGCCCACAAUAACCAACCAAAAGUUGCUCCGACUAACAGGGUACCCAGAAUUUCGAUUAAGUAACAAACCUAAACAGUAGCUAUGAAGAUGGAAUAUAUAAAAGAAAAGAACAAAAAAAAAGGGAUGGGUGAAUGAAUAGAUUUGAGAAGUUGGACCUACCUGGAGUCUUGAAGCUUAGGAGUAGACUUCUUCUCGACACCAAGGACGAUAGUGUCGGUUCCACGGACACCAACGGCGGCGUUUCCUUUCCGGACGGCCUCGAGGGCGUACUCCACCUGAAAAAGAUGUCCGUCGGGGGAGAAAACAGUAAUGGCUCUGUCGUAUCUAGCCAUCUAUCUGUGCCUGUAUAGGGUAUGCUACGUAUUCGUACAGUUUUUUUUGGGGUUGGGCUUGUGGUUUGGGAUCUCUGGCUCGACACUUUUAGACUUCCAGGGAAGAGAGAGAGAGGGAUGAAAGCGUGAAGAAGGGGAAGAGGAUUCAGAGGGAACUUGGGGGAGAAGUCACCAGUAGCACACGAUGUCGUUUCCAAUUACUUUUUGUACUACAAGUAACAAGUGACUAGUCCCAGUAGAACUAUAUAGUUUUUUUUUUUUUUUUUUUUCUUUAGCGGAAACCAAUGUUUUCAAACCCGGACCGUCAAUCGAACCGGUGAGGUGAAAGGGUCGAGAUUCAACCGGUCGGACCGGUUCAACCGGGGUUCAAUAAAUAAAUAAAUAAAUAAAUAUAUAUAUAUAUAUAUAUAUAGACACACACACCUAUGCAUAGAAUAAGAUAUAAAUGCUGAACCACAAUAAAUAUAAGAGCAAUAUCCAACAAUUAACACACACAAUUAACAUAGUUAUGAAACUUACAUGUCCAAUUGUCUAAAUAUUAAAAUUAACAAAAAAAAAUACAAGUCUAGAAAACAAUCAAAAGGUCCAAACGAGUCCAAUUUCUGAAGCUUCUAUAAUCUUCUUCAUAAUUCUGGGACAACAAAGCUUCAAAAAAAGCCAUCUUGACAAGUCAUCAUCAUCAUCCAAGACCAUUAUAUGAAUCACUGACAAGUGAUAAAAGUAUAAAAUCAUAUUAGUUUCAUCACACCAACUGAUACAAAUCUUAAAAAUAAAAAUAAAAGAGUACAAAUAAUUCUAUACCAAUUACCAUUUGAACAUUUAAUGCCAAUCAUCAUCUUCAUCAUUAAAAAAGUUUCGACGCUGAAAUGUUUCUAAAUCAACAUCUUCUGCUUCCUCUUCAUUAUCUAAAAAAUCAACAUAUUUAAUUAUAUACAUAUUCAACAAUUGAAUAUCAUAUCAUACUAGCUUUAUUUUUGCAUCAAACUAAUGAUUUAUGUCAAACUAACCUUCAAGUUGUUCAGAAUUUGAACAUUGACCAUGAAUUGGAAGUUCUUCAAGCUCUUCCUCUAACUCCUCAUAAUCAAGCUCCCCUUCUUGUUCUUCUUCAACCACCCAAAAUUCUGUUUUAUCAAUUGACUCAUAAUCAACGGGAUCAUACGAUCUCUUUUGCUGAUUAUGCCUACAAUAUAUAUAUAUACACACAACAUAUACACUUAGUUAGUACUAAAAUAUUUUCUUAAAAAGAAUGAAAUGUCAUUUAUAAAAAUAAACCAUUUACAUAUACCUAUACUGCAAACGCAAAUUGUAAUGCACAUAUACAAGAUCAUUGAGCCUUUGAUGCUCCAACCUAUUCCUUUUCUUAGUAUGAAUACGUUCAAAAACACUCCAAUUACGCUCACAUCCUGAAGAAGAAGCUGUUUGACUCAAAACCCGAAUUGCAAGUUUUUGUAAGUUGGGAGCAUCACAACCAAAGAGCUUCCACCAAUUCUCUGUCAUAUUCAAAAUUUAAAUAUAAACAAAAUAUUUAUAAAUUAGAUAUAUAUAUAUAUAUAUAUAUAUAUUAGAGAGAUUCAAAUGCUAGAAAAAUAUAAAUUACCUGGUCUAUCUUUCUUGCUAGUAAGAAUAGCAAGUUUUCUGCCAAAACUUCCCUCCCGCUCUCGAUACAUUCCAAUUUCUCUUGUUAAAUUUUCCACACUACACCAAUCCACCUUUGAUUCUAUGUAAUCCAACAAACCAUUUGUAAUUUCUGGAUGUGUAGAGAAUGUGGCGGUGUCAUAUUGAAAAGCGGGAUUUAAAAAAUAUGCCGUAGCAUGCAAAUUUUUCCUCAACAUCCUAUCCCAUCGGUCAUUGAUGAUAUCAAUGUAAGGCUUAUAUAGUCUUUCACUACUCCUGAACAACUUCUUGAUUCCAGUAAUUGCUCUAAACAUACCUUCAUACACAUACCCCAAAGAAGGCCUUUCAUCAGUGUCACAAACUCUCAACAACCGAAUAAUAGGACCCAUUAUUCUCACCGUAAUCAAACAAUUAUUCCAAAAUCUAUCAUCCAAAACAAUUUGUUUGACCUCUUUUCCUUUGUUCAUUUUCAAGAACUUUUUGUAAUCUCCGCUAGUGACUAAAGCUUGUAAGCUGUCUUUGUGAUCAUGUAAGCUCUUUAGUGCAAUAAAAGUGGUGGCAAAUCGAGUCUCCCCCGGACGAAUAAUCUCCCUCCACCCAUUAGUUUUUCUCAGCCAAUUUAGAACAUAUUUAUGAUUAUACACAAAAACAGUUACUGUAGCAGCAAGAGCCACUAGAGAUUUAACAGUACCCAUUUCACCAAUAUCCUUCAAAAUCAAAUUGAUACAAUGGGCAGCACAUGGAGACCAGCAAAUAGUUGGAUAUCUUUCAUUUAAUAAAGUUCCAGCAGCCUUAUAAUUGCUAGCAUUAUCAGUGACUAAAUGCACCACAUUUUUUGAACCAACCAUUUCAACAAUUUCAGCAAACAGAUUGCACAAAUUUUCUGCAUUUGUCACAAUGUCCGAUGCAUCUAUAGACUUGAUAAAAGAUAUACCCUUAGGACAAUAAACCAGAAAAUUAAUCAAUGGUCUUUGUCUACUAUCUUUCCAUCCAUCACCCAUUAUAGUGCAUCCAGUUUCAGCCCAAGUAUUUCGAAAUGAAUCAACAACUAACUGCACAUCUUUCUUAGCAUCUCGCAACAAAGUGACUCGCAAGGAAUGAUAAGAUGGAGCUUUAUAACCAUGACCCAUUGAUGCAAUUUGAUCGAUAGCUUUUUGAAAAAAUGGAGAAUUAACAGCAUUAAUGGGAAUACAUGCAUCAUAGAACCAAAGAGCAAUGGCCAUAUCAGUAUUUUGCCAUUUAUCCUUACUUUGCAAACAAGCUUUGAUAGUAGGUUGAGCACUAUCACGUCCACCCUUAAAGAAAGCAUGAAUACCUGUAGGGGCAGUGGUUUUUCUCUUUCCUUUACCUAAUGAUGUACCAGCCUCAUUCAUUGAAAUUUCCCUUAUUCGAGGAGGUGGAACCUCUUGCACUUCAUCACCGACAAAUUCGUGCACUGGUUGACCAAAAGGACUUUCAACCCCAAAAUCUCCUCUUUUUUCUUUAGAUUUUUUAUCAUUUUCUUGCAAACAUGUUAAUAUUGCAAGCCUCACUGCUGGAUCAACAUUUGGACAUGAAGUAACACUGCCCGUUACUCCUGCCAAGUGUUGCUUCAUUCGGUGGAUGCCACCCCCAUGAAACACUUUAAAACAAUAAGUGCAUGUCAUGGUUUUUCUUCCUUGUGCAUUUCUGCCCUCAGAAACAUAUCCCCAUGCUAUAUCUGUCUUUUGCCUAUGACCUUGGGGCUGACUUGCAGAUCCCUCACUAUUGAAUGGUCCCCCCGGUGAACAUUGUGAGUUACUACCGCUACCAGCCUCCAUCCUAAAAUGAGAUAUUUAAAAAUAACUAGUCUUAACAAAUAAUUAAUAUACACAAACUGAAACAAAUUAUUAAAGCUAUUCGUAUUUGGGAACUGAAACUGUCACCAAAAGAUCUAAAGGGGUUAAUGGAGACAAUGAAACAACCGUUUAGCACGAGUGAAGUUAAUUCCCUAAGCCUUGUGCAUUUCUUGAGGGUGUUAAGUAUCUUCACGAUAACUGGGUUGUGCACAGAGAUUUAAAGACAUCAAAUAUACUUUUAAAAAAUAGCACAGAGAUUUAAAGACAUCAAAUAUACUUUUAAAUAAUAGCACAGAGAUUUAAAGACAUCAAAUAUACUUUUAAAUAAUAGCACAUUGGGUGUUCCCAGAUCCCAAGUAUGCAAAAUGUAUAUCAAAUGAAGCUAUUUAACUGGAAGUGGAAUGAAAGUCUUUGCCCUUUAAACACUACAUAUAUAUAUGGUAUAUCACAUGUUUGAGAAGCAAAACGUGAGAUCAACACAUUUAAGCGAAUUGCUAAAACUUGAAGGAUAAUGUGUGUAAUGUUCAAUUGGUGCCCUUCCAUCCUUUAGCUCACUGACAAGAUCCAAAUCACAAUUAAUCACAAACAAGUAUAUAAGAACUCUUGUCGGGGUUACAGUCAGCUAAUAGAUUGAUCAGCAGAUUCACGAUACUGAAUUCUUAUGAAUGAAAGCAAUCAAAGUACAAGGGAAUUUGCAGCAAUUUAGGCAAGCGGAACUGAUAUUUCCAAAGGAUUGACAAUUGUAUAAACUCAAACACGUGAACAGGAAAAUAAGCAGCAGCUACAAUCAACCCGGUCUGAGUAAACGGAUAAACUGACCAGCAAAACACGACACUACAGAGAAUCAAUCACAAUCAGAGUAUAUCUACUCACAUAUGGAACAAUAUCUAGACAGAGAACAUGUUGAAAUUAGAAACGAAAUGAGGUAGCAAUUCAAAUUAUGAAGAUUUAGGACCUGAAUGCAGAAGGGUUGAUGUCCACCACCGGCGCUGCACCACCUCAAUCACCCUGCUCAGCUACACCACCUCAAUCACCCUGCUCAGCUGCACCUUCAGCCCACAGUCGACAACGAGCACCGCCAACCAGUGGUCAUCUACGCCGUUUCCCCAAAAGUGAUCCACACCACACUUUGGAGAAGGGGAAAAGGAACUAGCGAAGGAGGACCGAAGCGGCGAAGCGGCGAGGUGAAGUCACUGAAGUGCGAAGAGGAAGAGUGGAAGACUGGAGCCGUGGAGCGAACUAGCGAAGGAAGACCGAAGGCCGAAGCGGCGAGGACCGAAGGCCGAAGCGGCGAGGACCGAAGCGGCGAAGCGGCGAGGUGAAGCGGCUGAAGUGCGAAGAGGAACUGAGGAAGAGUGGAAGACUGGAGCCGUGGAGCGAACUAGCGAAGAAAUCAGAAAUGAAGAAUGAAGAUUAGGGAUCGGUCAAAAUUGAAGUUUUUGUCAAUUUUGACUCAAAAAUUGGAAACCGCGGUUCACGGUCCAACCCGGUUUUGAAGAUUUGACCGGUUUUUUCCGGUUUUGACCGGUUUCUUAUAAAAGUCAACAUAAGCUAUAGACCGGACCGGACUCAUGGCCGGGUCGCGGUCGAACCGGUCGACCCGGCCGGUCCGGUCCGGGUUUGAAAACAUUGGCGGAAACAGCUAGCCUAGCCUAGCCUAUUCCUACUCCUAAAGGGGGGACUACUUUUUUAAGAGAAGCGACUCUAAGGAAUGCGCCAAUUGAGUCGGGGGCACCAGACGGGAACUUAAUCAUCAUCUGAUCAGACGGGUGCACCACUCACCCGUAUGAAUUUAGAACACUUCUCAUAUUGAGACACAUUGAUGGGAGACAAGUUUGGAUUGCUGUUUAUUUGCCAAAAUAUAUUUACUUACAUCAUCAUUACAAUUUCCAACACACCUUUUUAUCUUCCCAAUUACCUUUUUAUCUCACAUACAUCACAUCACAAAAAAUGUUACAGUAAAAAUAUCUCUAAUAAUUUACAAUCCAAACAAACUCGUUUGAACCCUUGACCUCCCACCCCACUAUAUACAGUUUUCUUCUUUUUUUUUUUGGUGUUUUCUCCCCUUUAUAUUUUGAGUUCAUAAGUCGGUGAAAAAAGAUUUUGGACCCCGAAAGGCCAAAACUGAUUAUGUUCAGCUCAAUUAGUGUAGAAAUACAGAAAAUUUUCAAGCAUCUCUAUUUUUUUAUAGUAGUAUUUAUAUUGAUUCCAUAGCUAUGUAACCUUUUUUCUCAUUGUAGGUUCUUUUUUUUUUACAACUAAUUUAACUUGUUUAGAAGUAAAUAAAUAUGCCCAGCUAAUUUUAUUCCAAGUUUUUUGGGUUUAAGGUAAUGUAAGAAAGGGGAAAAAAAAAAAAAAGGAGGUAAGUGUAAUUGCACUCUCUUGUGGACUAGAUUUAGAUUGGGUCGGAGCUUUGGAUGGAAAAUGUUAAGAAACGCGGAUUGGCCCAAGUCCAACCACAUAAGCGGAGAUCAUUGUAACUGUAGUUAUGAAGGCCACACUCUAUUGUGGGGCUCCUGGUCCUUGUCUUCAUAGACAUUAGAGACAGGAAUAAAAAAAUAUUCCACCCCAAAUUAACCAAUCAUUCCUCCCGCGAAUUCAUUGCACAAAUUGCUUUCUAGUCCAUUUGGCAUUCUUUGGCGGUCAUCAUUUCGGAUGAAACCACUAACUAGUUGGUCGUCAGUCAAGUCAUGGAGAAAGGCCAUUUUGUGGACGCAACACCAAUUUAAGUGCAACCCGUGCGGCACACGAUGAUGCGCUUUCAGUUGAAAAACACUUUCCAGAUUCCGGAAAUUUUCCUUGGUUCGAGCACAGAUUGAAUUCCUAACCUUUUCCCUGUACAUAUUUUAGAUAUUCAGUGCCUUACUUGGAAUAUCAAUCAAAGUUUUUGGAGGAAAGAUGACUUGCUGAAUGCAUAACCAGUCCUGAUCUAAUUUUGCUAUGCUGCUAGUUGUUAUCGAACAUGUAACAGUACUGUAUGAAUCGGUAUGGCAGCAUGAACCAAAGAAGGCGAACUGUUCAGUGACUUGGGAGACUUGUCUCAGUUCUGCGGUUGAUACUGGCAGGCAAUUGUGUUUUGGUGACUCCUUCUACGAUGUCUUCUCUCAUGGGAAGAGAAGACUCCACUUUCCAUCUUUCAUUCCAGGGAAACGCGCUCUUAUUUUUAGAGUAAAAACACGCUCUUAUUCGAGAAUGGUUGAAUCGGCUUAAGGGCCGGCCAGCAAGAACUUAAUCAAAAUCAUUUUGUGGCAUGAAGGAAUCAGAGAGACAACCAAUCAGAAUUAUAGGGUUGUUAUCCACAAAAGGGGCUUAUCAGAAUGUUUACUUAUGCCAAAGUCCUGUAGUGUCAUGUCCAGUCCACACCCAUUUAGUUCACUGCUACUUUUCUUCCCUUUCUUUUAUGACAGCAGCGAUAGCAUUAGUAUAAUCUACUCUAACCUAAUCUAAGAGUAGCCUAACCGACGAGAACCUCUUGGAAGGCAACCACAUUCAAGUGACGGCCACAAUUGAGUGGCUUGACCUCCCACCCACCUACAAGCUUACUGCUACUACAAUUUAGGUUACUGCUACUUCCAAGAGCGGGCAUUCCGAAAACACAAGAGUAGACAUCAAAGGUGUAACCUCAUGAAAAGAAGCUUUAGCCCACAGCACCACAUUGCCAAAUGGGCACAUAGUCUUCUGACAAAUCAUAUUAGCACGUUGCAUGACUGUUUAGAAAGGCAUUUACCUCUGUCCUUUCCUCAAAUUUGAGGAACCAGUGAAUCAUCAUUUUUAUUAUAAAAGCCUCUUGCUUUUCGCAUCCAGUAUCCAGAAUCAUUUUUCCUAGGCUCCUUACAUCUCUACAAACUCUUCAUCCUCCUGUCGUCUCUCUACUUGAAUAACCAAUUCAAAAAGUGAUGUUAACCAGGAGUAGAACCCUUCCCUCAAGAAUUUAUAAUGGUGUUGUAAGUUGAUUUUCGGAACGUACCAAUUUCAGUGUGAUAAAAAAAAAAAAAAAAUUCUUUUGUUCUCUCAACUUUUCUAAAGCUACCCGUCUGUUCCAUUCUUUAGGUUGAAGAGAGGCAAGACUUCAGACACUAUUUGCAGGUGGAAGUCCAACCCAAACCUCAACAGGAAGCUGAAGCAAUUAAUCUGCAAGCUAACUAUUCCAAGUGCUUUGAUGAUGAUGGCCGGUUAAAGAGAACAGGUAAACAUCCCAACAAAAGUGGGCAGAUGAAUAUAAUACUUAGAAUACGCCGUGCAGAUUAGACAUUGGGAUUAAAUUUAAUACUGGAAAACUGAUGAAUUUACUACCAGUCCCUCGCAAAUUACAUCUCUCAUAUUACAUACAACCGACUCUACGUGUCAGUCUCUCAAGAAUUAAUUGCUCAAUCAUCAUCAUUUGCCAUUAAGCAAGCAGAUGGUAGACCAGUAUUACCCAUUGAAUGCCACCCAACAUACCUAAUAGGCUAUAACGUUUGCUGAUGCAGGAACUCUUUGGACUGCAACAUCCCAUAUAAUCACAGCCGUCAUUGGCUCCGGUGUGCUAUCAUUAGCAUGGGCUAUAGGACAACUUGGGUGGGUUGCUGGACCAACUGUCAUGCUUCUUUUUGCUUUUGUAAUUCUCUACACGUCCAACCUCCUAUCACAGUGCUAUAGGUCUGGGAAUCCUGUAACUGGACCACGGAAUUACACUUACAUGGAUGCUGUCAAGGCAACCUUAGGUAAAAAGACGUACAAGAAUAACUUUCCUAAUUCUUUUAAAGUUAUUAGUCAUUUAAUAUCAGAUUCCUAACGUGACGUUUUUGGAUUGCAGGAGGGAGAAAAGUAAAAAUCUGUGGACUAAUUCAGUAUAUCAAUUUAUUUGGUGUGGCUAUUGGCUACACAAUUGCAGCAUCAGUCAGCAUGAUGUGAGUUGGCAGUGUGAAAAUUAUACUAAUAUACCAAUUGAUAUGCUCUUCUAUCUAACCAAUGCAUCAAAAUAUGUGGAAUAUCAUGUCAGAUACUAACACACAGUGGAACUAUACUAUGCACUUGUCUCUUUUGUGAAACAGGGCAGUAAAAAGAUCAAAUUGCUUCCAUGAGAGCAAUGGUAAAGAUCCCUGUCAUAUGACAAGCAAUGGAUACAUGAUUACCUUUGGAAUCAUUGAAAUCAUAUUCUCCCAGAUCCCUGAUUUUGACCAAGUAUGGUGGCUGUCCAUAGUUGCAGCAGUUAUGUCCUUCACAUACUCUACUGUUGGUCUUUCUCUUGGCAUUGCCAAGGUUGCAGGUGCACACUAUACUGCUCUCAUUUUGCACUUGGGAUCCUCGGUGACAUGUUUUCUAUGCCAAUCUAAUGCCACCUAUAAUAUUGUGCUAAGUGUCCUGUUAUUAUUUACACUUAUGUUAAACCAAACUAAGUUGAAUUAUUAGAAAAUUAAAGUGUAAAUAAUAAUAGGACACUUGGCGCAAUACUAUAGGUGGCAUUGAAUUGGCAUAGAAAAACAUGUCACCGAGGAUUCCAAGUGCUCAUUUUGACAUGACCAAAGACAAAAAUUACUAUUAAAAGCAGAAGUGUGAAUUUCAAUUAUAUAUAUUAUCUCGUUUGCAACUUAUGACUAGAUGUUUGAUAUGCAUUUCGAAAGCUUAUUUACACAUGUAUCAUAUGGCAGUUAUACCACCAAGAUGUUUGUUUUGCAACUAAAGCAUGCACUUCUACUUUAUUUACGUUUGUCUGAUUUAUGCAAAAAAAAGGGAUCUAGUUUAUGUUCCUAAUUAGAUCAUUUAGUUCCAGGUUCUGGAACAAUCACCUUACUAUGCAGACAUCAAUCUUUUUCUUUAUUAAUUUGUGGCAGAAAAUAAAAGUUUCAGAGGAAGCCUAAUAGGCAUCAGCAUAGGUACCAUAACACACGCUGGAACAGUUACUGCAACACAGAAGUUAUGGAGGAGUCUACAAGCUCUAGGAGCCAUAGCAUUUGCAUACUCUUACUCCAUCAUCCUCAUUGAAAUUCAGGUUGACUGUAUUCCAGGUUCUCCCUCUACAAAUGAUAGUUUCCUUCCAAAUUUAGUUCAGAACAAUUUUCAAUUCAGAAGUGCUGAUGGAAAAACUUCAUGCACCCCCCGUAGGAUACCAUCAAAGCCCCUCCAGCUGAAUACAAAACCAUGAAGAAGGCAACUCUAAUCAGCAUUGCGACCACAACCGUAUUCUAUUUACUCUGUGGAUGCAUGGGAUAUGCUGCAUUUGGGGACGAUGCUCCAGGAAACCUUCUUACUGGUUUCGGAUUUUAUAAUCCAUAUUGGCUAUUAGACAUAGCUAACGUAGCCAUUGUCAUCCAUCUUGUUGGUGCCUAUCAAGUAAACCCAUGCAACCACUCGUUAACAUAUCCAUACUUCGCUUCAAACACUAAUAUCAUCUAUAAUGCUUAAAACUCACUUCCUUCAGUCAGACUAUCUAUAAGGCAUAUAAGAUAGAAUGUUGCUCACAUAGCUACAUGACUGAGAAAAUGCAGGUCUACUGCCAGCCGUUAUUUGCAUUUGUGGAGAAAUGGAGUGCACAAAGAUGGUCAAAUGGUGACUUUGUAACGGCAGAAUAUGACAUACCUAUCCCUUUUUAUGGCGUGUACCAGCUCAAUUUUUUCCGGCUGUCGUGGAGAACCGCUUUUGUAAUUGUUACUACUAUCAUCGCCAUGCUCGUGCCUUUCUUCAAUGAUGUUGUCGGCAUACUGGGAGCUCUAGGAUUUUGGCCAUUGACAGUAUACUUCCCCAUCGAGAUUUAUGUUGCUCAGAAGAAGAUUGGGCGAUGGACAACUCAAUGGAUUGGUCUACAGAUAUUAAGUGCAGCUUGUCUCCUUGUUUCACUAUCUGCAGCAAUUGGUUCAGUGGCUGGUGUCGUUCUUGAACUCAAAACAUACAAGCCCUUUAAAACUAGUUAUUAGGAGGAAAAGAUCGAGCAAAUGGAGGAGGAUAUAGAAGCAUUUUACCUGCAGUGAGAAAAGCAGUAUGUACUGGUUACUAAUCUAUAAAGAUGAAGGGAUGUACUAUAAAUUACGAGAACAUUGAUGUAUCAAAAUUACAGAGGGCUUCGAUGGGGUGGAUUGGAUGGCAGUCAUGCAAUCAUCAGUCAACAAUGAACGUUAAUAUAAAGCGUAAUUAUUAGGUAUAAUAAGCUGCCAAAAAAAACCACCCGCAUAAAUCUAAAAUAUGGUUUUAGACCAAUACUACACAGGUGCUUGUAAGAGCUUUUUUGCUUUUUAAUUUUUAACUUUGCUAUUCAUCAUGGAUGAUCUAUUUUCUACAGUUCGAUUCAAGUUUGGACUAAAGAUACACAAGUUACCGUAGCGUGAUUACAAAACAAACUAGUAUUUUAUCCCGUACUAUGCACGGGUUUACACGAGAAGGAGGCGAAAUAUGGCCAAACACAAUACUAUUAUCCCUUUCUUUCAUAUUCUUUCCCUUCGUGUCACUUUUGAAUCUAAUUUUCUCGCAUCCCUACAAACUUUCGUCGUUCCUUCAAAUUCUACUGAUUUUUUUUUUGUAUCCCUACAACCCUUUCUCAUUUUAUCAAAUCAUAUUUUCUCUUUGAUCUAUCUCGCUCCCACCCAAUUAUCAUAUCUCUUAUCCAAUUUUACAGCCCAUUUGUCUCCUAUUCUACCAUUAUUUUCAUCUAUUUAUAAAUGUAAAUGGUAACCUAUUUACUUGGCUCGCCUAUUAACAAAUGAGUUUGCGUGUGUAAUUUAAUUGGAUUCAAAUGGGUGACCAACUUAACCCAUUAAUUAGUGGGUAUGAAAUUGAUAGGUUUGGAUCACUUAUUUUGACUUAAUUAAAUUAGACGUAGAUUCAAAGUCAAUCAUUAGUGGGUAAAUCUAAAUUACUCUAAUAAUUAUAUUCUAAUUUUUGCAAAGAUGUAUUCAUAAUUUUUCCUCUUCUUUAAUUUCUAUUAUUUUAUUUUUAAAAAUUUAUCCAACUUCCUCCAUUCCUUUCAUAAAUGUUUAAUAAAUUUCAUGAAUGUUAAUUGAUUGUUUGCAUUACUACCUAAAUUAUUUUUAGAUAGUCGUAUAGUGACAAAAUUUGAAACUCACUAUGAUGAUCAUUUUUGGCUCCUUUCAGCAAUUUUUUUAUAUUUUUUCUCUUUCUUUAGGUAAAAAUUGAUUAUUAAGUUGAUAUGUUGAUAUGAUUUACUAUUUUGUUACUAAACAAAAUGUGGAUAAAAAAGUAAAUAAAAUUUAGUAGUGGGUCGUGAAUGAGUGAUUGGAUAAUCCAAAUCCAUAUAUAACUAUAUUCAUUGACUACUCGUUUAUUUUGAACCAUUAACUAAGUAGGAAUAUAUAGAUUAACCUAAUUAUAAUUUGUCCAAACUCACACGAAUCAUCAAAUUUGAUAACUGUCCCCUAAUCUUUACCUUCCCCCUAAUCUUUACCUUCCCUAACCCUACAGGUCUAUCUUUCUAAUCCUUUCACUAUUUAGGAUUCAUUAUCUCACUUUUUAAGUGUUUUUGGACAUAUAAAAAGUUAGAAUUAUUUUUCCAAGUUGCUGCCUCAUUUUUAAGUGUUUUUAAUCAAAUAAAAAGCUAGAAUUGCAAUCAUCGAGAAAAAAUAAACUUUCGAAUGUAAAUUUAGUGAAAUACAACCUUUUUAUCAAAAUUUUGCUAAAAUACCACCAAAAACAACCUUCUAAAUACACCUUUAUUAAUUUAAAAUUCAUACAUAAAUUUUUCUUUACAUACAUUUUUUGGUGUACAUGUGCUCAAUGAAAAGUCAUCUAGAUGCUUGCACGAUAUUGCUAUUGAGUUUAUUCUAAUUGCAAAUAAAAUAUCAUAAUUGUUAUUUACAUACUCCAAUUUAAUGUUAGAGUAUAAUUUCAACAUUCAAAUUUUAAAACUUUAAAAAAACAGACCUAUUGAUAAAUGAUUACUGUACCCAGAAGGAAAGCGAUAAAGAAAUAAUUGGGUUAAUAACUUAAAAAUAGGACUAAUUACAUUAUCUCAAGGAUUUGGCUAGAUAAAUUAAUCCUCUUUAAUGAAGGAAUAAAAGGGGUUAAAGUGAUAAAGAUAUAAUAGGGUGAAUAAUUUUAAAAUGAGACUAAUCAAUUAUUCUUGAGAAUUUUGGCUUGACAAAUGUAUUUUAUUUAAUUAAGGAGUAAAAAUGACUUAAAGUAUAAAUAAUAAACUGUAAACGGUUUAUGAAGGAGAUAGUGUGAAAGUUUUAAAAUUUAAAUUUGACUAAUGAUAGGAUUAGUUAUAACCCACUAUUUUAAAGUUUUUAAUUAGAUUUUAUAUAUUAAAAUUAAUACAAAAAUAUGAAAAAAAAGAAUGAAAAGUUUGGAAGCCAUUGAGAGGGUCUCUGUAAAAAAAACCACUCUACAAUACAUAUAGAUAUAGAUGCUGCCAGUUUUUGCGGCCAGGUCCAUUCUUUAUAAAGUCUUUCCUUAAAUGUCAGUCCUAAAAAAUAAACUAAAAUAAGAUAAUAAAGAAAAAACCGAUGCACCAGAGUGAGUCCUCAAUCGAAUCGAAAUCUACUCGAGUGAGGUAGGUAAAGAUCGUGUUGGAUGCGGGACUUAAUGCUGACCUGAGAGGGAGAAUUAAAGGCAAAGGUCCAAUCUCUUUAUUUGCCCACCAGCAGGCACCAUCCUAUGUUCGAUGAAAGCCAAGACAAAAGUAGUACUUUUUUAAGGAUGCGUAUUUAGUUUAGUAAUUUACAAGGCUGGAGGACUUAAUAUGGCCCUCUCUACUCUUUGUCUUAGUAUAAUGCGCGCAGAGGCUGUUUCCAGUUCUAGUUUCUGACGAAACGACGCUGCAGCUCUGUCUUGGCAACACAGGCUUACCAGUAACACGGACCAGACCUUCAUUGUCCCGUGUACAUACGAAAGUCCAGCCCAAGAAACGCUGACAAUUUUGCGAAGCCUAAUAGUGUCGCACAUGGAACUCUUUUUAACAUUUUACAUACCACUUCACAAUACUAUGAUACUUGGAUCCAAACGUGGGGGUUGACAAAUACUACAAAUUUUAAGUCGCUGGGAACCGUGACAGCAACGGGGAUACUUAAGAAAGACGGUGCAUCUUGUUGACAACAAAAUAUUUUGGUAAUGGACCUUUUAGGUUGAUUUUGAUCGUUUGCCUUAUGCUGAGUGGACACGAUGCAGGAUCUUAGUGACGUACCAGGACUAGGAGAUUGCAAAUAAUUGAGGAUUCGAUGUGAUCUACCACAAUAAAAUUGAUGGCACACCACAAUGUUCCCUGUCAAGGGCAAAGCGGAACACCCCAAAAGAGAGAGAGAGCACCUGUUACAAUCCCACGCCAAUACAUGCUAAUGUUGUUAAAUUCGAUCGGAUAGCGAUUCGGCUAAAUUAUUGAAUUAGAAAUUAAUUGGUUGAAUCGUUCUCGACAACUCGCUAACGUCAGCAUAAUGUUAUAUAAUUAUUUUAUAUUUUUAUAAGUUUUAGAAAUAUUAAAAUCAAGUUCUUCGUUAUAUUUGUUCAAUCAUAAAAGAUGUUCCAAAAAUAUUAGAUUUGCAAUCAAAUACAUACUGAAUAAUUAUAUAUAAAAAUAUAAAUUCAUGAUUAAAAUAUGUCUAUUCUUCAAAACUACUUGAAAAAUUAAAUUAAAACAAAUUAAUAUAAGUUGAAAUCACUGAUGCUAAAUUAAUGAGAUCAUAGGGAUAAAAAUAUCUUGAUUUAGAGAUUAUUUAAGAAAUCGGGUGAUUUUGAUAUUUACAUUAAAUGGUUGACGUUUUCUUAUUUCUACUGAUAAAUGAAAGUUUAAGUAACUCAAAUUAUAUUUGAAAAAAAAAGAAAAAAGAAAAGUUUAAAAAUUGAGUCAACCAGGCGAAUCAGGCCAUCGAUUUAACCAAUUUUUUAUGAUUUUAAUUGAUUUUUUAUCAAAGUAAUAAAUCAGUUCGAAAAGAAAAUUGAUUUACGGUAGGACUGGUUGAAUCGACCGGUCCGAUUCGGAUCUAACAACACUGGUACAUGCAUUUUGGGAAGGUCAGUUUUAAUCCUAGUCACAGUCUUACCCAAUUGGUGACGCCCGCAAACGUCCACUGUACCCUGGACCCCCUCACAAUAACUGCCAGAGUCGCUGUCACAAGCGCAAUUUAGUCAGGGAUGAGUGGUCAAAAAUAUAAAUUGGAGUGGACGUCAAAUCAUGCAUAAAGAUGUUGCUGAUACUUUAUUUCAUACAUAUAAAUACACUUUUUAUUUGGCGACGAAAUCAGGUGUGUCGAUCUGUCACUACAUAGUAUAAUCCAAGCAUAUGGGCUAAAAAAAUAAAAUAAAAAUCCAAGCAAGCAGCAAGCAUAUGGUGCCUACUUAAAAAUGAAAAAUUUCCAAGCAAAGCAUAUGAUUAGUCUGCAAGUAUGUGUACAAGUUGAUCAUGAACAGCAACAAAGUAUUUGGAGUUGAAGCGGUUGUUUCAAUUUCAAAAGCUCCAAAGCUUGUACUUAUUGGCAAACCAACCAAUCUUAACGAGAAGAAAGAAGAAAGAGAAGUAACCGCUCUCGGAAGCUUCGAAUUGAUCGAGUGAAGUAGGAUGAACUUAACAAGCAUUUGGCAUUCAUAAUACUUUUUGUCACAUGAGGAGGUCGAAAAAGAAAAUUCCCAGACAUUCCCUCCGGCUCCUACCACGAUCACCCCCGGAAAAAGGCUUAAAAGGCCACACGCCGGUGUCUCCCGACACUUAGACAUACCUACCCCUCGAAACGGCGCUAAUUAAAGACGAUCGAUCAACAAGCCAACCCAAAAAUAAUAAUAAACAACCAAAAGUGCUAGCUAGCAAGAUGUAGCUAGCUGCUUAAAGCUAAUCAAGCUAGAAUCUACACACCUAUCUCCCUAGUACUCGAUUAAAAAAAAAAAAAAAACACAUGAUGAUCAUGAUCAGGAUCAAGAUCAUUAAAAAAGCCUUCCUGGUAGCGAAUUAACGAGCAUCCAAACAUGGGUGAUGGAACCAUUUACAGGGGAUCAAUUUGAGUCACCACAAUGGGGCUCCGCACCACAUGCUUUCCAUCCACCCAAGAAAGUGAGCCGAAAACAGCACCGGAAUCACCAAUCACCAGAUUCUUACUGUCCGCGGUGACCGUCACAAAGUAGCUCAAUUUCCUCACUUUCUCCGUGAACACAAGUUUUGAGGGCUUCACAGCAACACCGACCCCCUUGGGUGCCUCCACCUUCACGCUGUAGACUGCAUUUGCUUCCCCGACGUUCGUCACUGUCCUGAAAAAGGUCUUGCUGGAAACCCCCGUGGAGGCACUCGAAAACGGUGCAGCAAUUGAGGGAUAGUUCAGGUUCUCAGGCAACGGCUUCCUCGCCGGGCAAUUCACCGGUGAUCUGGUGAUUACCUGAAUCGUCUUGGGGCCAUACUCAAUCGCGCAUAGAAAAUUCACGUAAUCACUAUUGGUUAAAUCAUAAACGAGCCCUGGAUCCAUGGCGAGACCGAGAUUCACGUGUCCAGCUCCAUAAUCGUAGGGGGUGGAUGGUUUCCCAGUUGCCUCAUCGAUCAUGGGAUGAAAAUUGUUGUCAAUAGUAGUAGCAGUAGUCAUCAUAGCAGACCUAAUUGCAGCGGGACUCCAAUCAGGAUGCGCGGAUUUUAGCAAGGCCGCCGCGCCGCUCACAUGAGGACACGCCAUGGACGUACCCGACAAGAUGUUGAACUCGGUCUUCCGAGUAUCCAAAUCCAGUCCCGUUGGACCGACCGCAUCAGUCCAGGCCGCCAAGAUAUUAACCCCAGGGGCUAUCAUGUCCGGCUUCAGUAUCUCGGGGUUCAAACCGUUGGGCCCUCUAGCUGAAAAAGAAGCCACCACGGGAGCCGGUUUGAUCCCAACUACGGUGCCCCCGAAAUUGAUCGUGGCAGUGGGAUUUGGAUGGGAGGCGGCAUAGGCUUUGAUGGCGUCACCUUCUGAAGCACCAACUGCACAAGUUGGAAGCAAAUGAGCAUCUCCAACAAGGCCUUCUCCGUUGGAAGCCCCAUUAGCCAGAAUCAUUCCCACACCUCCUGCCUUUUUCACCACUAGUCCUUUGGCCACUCUAGGAUUACUACCCCGGUCGCAAAUCACUAUUUUUCCUUCCACUGCGCUAGGCUCAAGUGAAUUCUCCAUGCACAGUGAAGUGGCCAGUACCCCGGAUUUACCGGGGUACACUACGGAGUACAUUUUCCCGUCCAGUGGCAACCCCGCGUACAGCGACACCCCGGAGAGUUUCCUACCGUCGCCAAGGAUAAUAUAAGCUGGGAAAUUCCGAUCAAUGGUGCCGGCUCCGACGGUGGUGAGCCAGGGAGCGAGGUUCGUCACGGACAUUCCAUUCGGCCCAUCAUUUCCAGCUGAAGACGACACAAAAACGCCCCGCGCAACGGCACCGUACGAUCCGAUUGCAAUUGGAUCGAGAUAAUAAGGAGAUGAAACGCCGUCACCGCCACCAAUUGAGAUGGAAAUCACGUCGACUCCAUCGGUGACUGCAGCGUCAAAUGCGGCGAGAAUGUCCGAAUCGAAGCAACCGGCACUCUUCCAGCAAACUUUGUACACUGCUAAUCGAGCUUUGGGAGCUACCCCUUUAGCUAUCCCGGCAGCAUAGCCCUCCAUGCUAGCUUCAAAAGCAUGCCGACCAGCAGCGGUGGAGGCCGUGUGGGUCCCGUGGCCGUCGGCAUCUCGGGGAGACUUGAACUCGAUAGUUUCAUUAAUCCCGCCCCCGAACCCUCCAAAACCAGGGGAAGCCUCGUGGCCUUUGGAGAAAAAUCUCGCUCCGACAAUUUUGCGGUUGCAGUUCUUGGUGGUGAACCUCACUCCGGCCUGGCAAACACCUUUCCAGCGAGCGGGGACCGGGCCCAAGUUCAGAUCGGAGAAGCUCCGGCGUUCGGGCCAAAUUCCGGUGUCAAACACUCCAAUAAUAACGUCGGAGCCAUAGUCGGAUUCGGACCAGAGACCCCUUUGGUUGCUAAGGCCCAGAAACUGAGGGGAGCGAGUGGUGUGGAGAUGUCGGCGGCGGUCCUCAAAAGCGGCGAGGAUAGAAGGGUGCUUGAGGACAGAGGCGGCUUGGGAGGGAGUUAAAGAGGCGGAGAAGCCGUGGAAAACUUUGUCGUAGACAUGGAGGAUGGUGGGAGAGGGGGUGAACUCGGAGGUGUACCAGUGGUAGUGGGUUGGGAAAAUGGUGGGCUUAAAAGAGCUGUCUAUUCGGAAGAUGUAAGUUUUGGGGGUUUGAUCAGGUGAAACGGCAACGGACUUUGAGACGGUAGUAAUUACAAGUACUACGAAAAAGAGGAGAAUUGGAGGAGGAAAUGAAGUAGCCAUGGGAGAAAGAAAGCUAGCAGCUCAGAGUCCAGCCAGAGAGUGUGAUGUUCAGACUUUUGAGACUGGGAUUUCCUCGUGGAGAGAUAAGAAUGAUGCUGGUGCAGCUGAGUUAUAGGAGGGAUUAUUGUCUCUCUCUCUCUCUUUUCUUCUUUUACUUAUUUACUAUUUUUUUUGUUUAAUUAAAGUAGGGUGGUAAUAAUUAAAGUUUUACUAGUGGUUAUUUUUGGUUUCAGGUGUGAAUUCUGUCUAAAUCAAAUUGGUUCAUCAAAAAUCUCGUAGAGAAAUUGAGCGUAAAUCUGAAUUAUUCAUCUCAUACAAUUAAAGACUAAAAAUUAGCAAUUACUACUGUACGAAUUUACAUAAAAUAUAUUUUGUUGGUUCAAAUACACGGACCGGUUUGAUUCCUUAUUUUGGCGGUUUUUAGAAUUUUCUCAAACAGAUUUCCUUAACACCAAAAAUAUACAAGUCAUGGGACGUUUUCUAGUUUAUUAUAAAUUUCUUCUAAUAAUGUUUGCGGACUAAGUAGAUAAAUUGAGUUAUUUAUGUACUGGUGGAGGUAGCAGACACUGAAUUAAGUAAAAUGUUUCUCUCAAGGUAAAUGAUGCGAAAGUGCCUACCGAAUUAGUUUCGUUUCUAAUUAUGAUGAAGCAGCAUGCCCAUCACUUUAUUGCAACCUCUCAGGUACUUCCACCAAAUAACUAAAAGUAAUUUAGUAGUAAUUGUCAUAUGCACUUUUAUUUAAAGGUUAGGAAGGCCAUUAAGUUAAUUAACUAUUAGAUCAUGGUACGAGGGUGACUCUAACGGAUGAAUUACCGGAGAAAUAAAAAGGGGGAAUUAUAAGUGAGUGUGUGUGGGGGAGAGUGGACAUGAUUUUGUCGUUUAUUUAUACGCUAUAAAGUAUAAAUUGAAGGCCACAUUGUUGAUGACUGCUGAGUCAUCAGACCUAUUUUGCGGGCGGGGGAACCAAAACAAAGCAAAAUUGGAUCUGCUACGAUUGAUUAUUGAUAGGUUUGGGGAGUGGGGUAUCACCAGCCAUCAGGAAUUCCCACAAUUCAAUUUUUGUUCCUUUGGAGUGGAGCGGCAAUCGCAUCUGUUUGGAAUAUGAGGUUUUUUUUAGAGUUUAUUUAAAAUUUUAUUGUAGAGUACUAUAGAAGUUUUUGAACAAAUUUUUUAUAGAAGUUUUGGUAGAGUGAAAAUUUUUUUUUGCUUUUUUUCUCUCUUUCUCUUUCUCUUUUUUUUUUUCUUUCUUUUCUUUUUCUUUUCUUUCCUCUCUUCUUUUUCUUCUUCCUUCCCCCACUCUUUCCCCGUUACCUCUGCCUCCCAGCAGCAACUCCACCAAUGCCACCUCCCGCCACUGCCUUCUGCCCACCAUUCCUUUCCUCCUCCUUCUGCCCACCACCCCCCUCUGCAACCCUUUCCUCCCCUUUCUCCCGCCACCCUCUCUUGUUCCACCAGAGCGCCUUCCCGUUCAAAAAUGGAUCCGGCGCCGGCGAUAAUAUCCCCGGAUUUUGACUCAUUUCAAAACUAGUUCCUUCAAGAAUUUCCAUCAAAUCUUCAGCAAAAUCAGAACCAACCCAUUGCUGUCUCUCUCUUUCCCUUUCCGACGGGCUAGUUUUCUCCACCGAAGCUAAACGAGCUAUUGAAGAGAGGUCACCUGCGGCAGUUGGGUGUUGCCUGGAUGAGGAGAACGGCCGGUGAGACGUUGGACCAAGUUCAUGAAGCCAGGCGCAUCUCCGCAGGAUGGGGGAGGAAACGACAGUGGUGGUGGGUUGGGAUGGGGGUGUAAUAACAAAAAAAGGGAAGGGAAAUUUUUUUUUUUUUUGUGUUUUGAAUAUUUUGAUGUGUAUAGGUAAAAAGUAUGGCGUCGGAACCAACAGUGCCAGUCGCUUUUCCCUGAUUUUUUUUUUUUUGCAAAUAAAAACUUGAUGGAUGGGGGGUGGGUCCUGAUGGAUUAUGCUAUUUUGAUUUGUUUUUGUCUAGUAUUUUACUUGCGAGGAUAUACGUUUAACAGGAUUGAUUGAUUGAUGCAACUAAUACUACCAGUUUUAAAAUUAAAAAACUUCCAUAAAAUGAAAAAGGAUUGAUGAAACGUUUGACAAAUUCGAAUAAUUCCAUGGUACAAUUGAUUUACAUGUGUCUGUCUGUCUGCGACCUUCUGCUUUUUCUUUUUCUCUUUUUUUUUAAAAAAAAAAAAAGUUCUUGCAUGGCUUGUUUGAAGUAACUCCAACAUAUAUGUUUCUAUUGUUGUGCUUUUUUUUUUUUGGGAUGUCAAUUUAUGUUUUGAACUUUCAAAGUUAGUGUCUAAUAACCAGUUUAAUUUACACUGAUCUCUUUCCAGUUUGGCAACAUGGUUAGUUUUUUUUCUUUUUUUUGGUAUUUUGCUUUAAUCAUCAUAUUAUGGGUUGCUGUUGUUUGGCAUUUCUUUUUUUUUUUUCUGUGUUUUAUUUAUUGUUCCUACAUUCUUAUCUUAUCCUGAAAUUGUGUUUUGUCUUUUUGACUAAAAUAUCUCUUACAUGUAUUAUCCAAUGCCAACUCAGAGUACUGUUGGUGGUAUGCAUAAGUAAUAAAUACAUGCAGUUCCAGUAGCGUUAGUGAAACAUGUUUGGAUCCUAUAGUUUUUCAAAAAUUAGUUUUUUAAAUAUUAUAAAAAUUUUUAAAAAGUAGGUAUUCUAUCUAAUUUUUUUUUAAUAUUUAAAAAAUAUCCCAAAAAUAUAUUUUAAAAGCUCUACUACUCUUAAAUAUUUCAAAAUAUUUUCUAAAAAUAUUCCAAAAUACACCCUAAAAAUUCUGCUAUGAUAAAAUUUUUUAAAAAUACCUUAAAAAACAGCUAAUCCAAACAAUAUCCCUGCAGAAAUAUCAUGAUCUUCUUCAAAAGUUGGUAGUAUUAUACGGCGUGCAUGAUUUAGAGGGUGAGACUCGAUGGCUGAUUAAAUUUGACUAACACUGAUUGGCUCCCUAAAAUAUCUUCCCUGUCAAAUUGGUAUAGCUAAGUCCUUAAACAUGAAUGAAUACCAAGACACCAUACAUCGAGUUCGAUCAUCCUUGUUCCCCAGUUUAUUCCAAUCAUAAACAAGAUUUUGAUCAUCAGGUCAGUCAGAAAGUUCGACAUUGGAAUCUUCCGCACAGUACAACUCCUACCACUACUGCGAGUAUUAGUAGUCAGCGUCCGUUAGUUUUGGGAUGAACACCAAACAUGCGGUACUGGGCCGUUCCUCGUACACAUCCUCUGCUACGUAGGAGUACCGUGUUUAUGCUGCAUGGGAGUAUAUAUUUCUCCCUCCCUCUCUCUCUUUUUUUUUUUUUUGGCAGCCGAAGCAUCAUCUUCUUGAGCUUUCAGCGUAGUACAUGUGGUGGGGUCCUGCAAAAUGAUCAGAUGUCUCCCAAUCCCAUUCAGUCCCAGGAGAAAAGCCAGAUGCUUGCUCAUCUAAAUCUAGACCGUCAAAACUGUUGGCCCCCCCCUCAAUCAUGGCUUCCUUCACGCUCAAGGUUGUUGCAGAAAGAAAGAAAGGGCGCCAAACUGCUGCAAUUUGAUUUCCGUGCCAAACUGCUCUAAAAAGUUAAAGGGCAGCCCGAUCGAGUUGGAUGCAUCUCUGACUAGUAAACUUUUUUAUUUUAUAGUACUGCUCUGCUAAUUGAGGUCCCAAAGUUAAAUGUAAACCCAAUUUGAUGACAAGUGAAUUGAACUCGAAAAGCAACAAGGAAGUAGUAUAUGGUACUGUAUAUGGUUGAAGUUGGAGGAUUGGGUCGACUUGAUUUCCAUCGUUUCAGGUAGUUAAUAGGAGGAGGAUCUUGAUUUGAUAACCGUCGGAUGGGAUGGGAGACUGUCGGCCUUACCAGUUACUUACUAGAGUCACAGGAAGGUGGCUCAUACAAUUAUGGAUUCCUUGCUCCUUCGCAUGCUACUGCUGUUGCACGAAAACGAAACCAAACUGCAGAUUGUAAAUUGUAAACAAAAGAAUGAAACGGUGCGUGACGGCAAUCAUCCAUAGGAUACUCCAUUCCCUUAAAGAGGUUCACAUCAGUUGCGUUUUUAAAUUCAUUGUGAUGCUUCUCCAUUUUUUAGUGGUCGAAAAAAUAAUCAAUUUCUUUUGCACUUUUGCAAACCUGCGAUUCAGGAUUUUUUUUUUUUUUUUGUGGGGGGUUUAGCAACCAACCAAUAAAGAUUUAGUAGUACGUGAUAGUUUCCCAAGAACUGUGCAGUAUAUGGAUACAUAUGCAUCCAUGGCUCUAAGUACGCAAGUAAUCAUGUGUGGUAACCAAAAACAUGAGUUUGUCAUGUUUCGGCUUGUAAUGACCACCCCCGCACACACACACACAUACACGAAAAAGAACGGACACGUGUAGGAGUAGUUGGAGUUGGCGAGUGGGACACUUCCAUCAAUUUCGCCACCGAUCACUGACCAAGCUUUCUUCCGUAAUUCUUAACAACAGGUCAUCAUCAUCUUAGCUAAGCUACUUCUGUUUUCGUUUUUCACGGCUGAAGGGGACUCUCUCUCGAUUAUAAUAAAGCUUUUGCUCUUUGACGAGGAAGAUUUGUCAUCCAUAGGUCCAGUAGUAGAUGAAAAUAGAAAGGCGGCAAUGCUAGAUGACCAGGUGAUUUCUAGACUGAUAAAUCGAGUCUACGGCACAAGCACACCUAUCAAGGUAGAGACACAAUCGAUACUUUGUCCUCGAUCUAGCUUCGAUGCUAAAACCAGUUAUGCAAAAGAUCAAGAAUAAAAGCAACACUAGUUGGACUAGAGUUAUGAACAAGAGAGAAAUUAAACCUAAAAAUCUUAUCGCUCUCCUCACAAAGGGAGGGGAGUAUUUAUAGUAAAAUAACUGAUAAGAGGAAUGAUGGAACCUACUCCUUGUUACCUACAAGGAGUCAGCCUAUGACGGUGGUGUCAGACAUAGGUCUGGGUAUAACAGCGGUGAUAGUCAUAUCAAUCUGUCUAAUAAUAGUUAGCUUUUGCUUGUAGGUAUCAGAUGCCGAAUAACUAGACAGGUCCAAUCGAAUGAGGUGGCCUCACAUCGGGAGGACAAAGAUGAGGAUAAACACCAAGAUAGUCGAGGUGAUCACCUCGACCUAAAAUGUGUUGGAUUGAGUCAUCUCGGUGAUGAGUUAAGUUGAGAAAGCCAAGGUGAGCGUCCACACUAGACACUCAAAUUAUUGAUGUCAAUUGAGCUCCAAGAAAUUGUAAUAGAGUAACAAACUAAGUAAUUGGCCACUAGAGGAGGGACUAAGUCCCUCCCUAAGCGUAGGUUAGGGUUGAUCCUCCUUGACUGUGUUUUUUCUCUAGAGUUUUUUGAGUAUUGCCAAAAGUUAUUUAACUACUUUCGAAUAUCUCAAUAGAUUAAAUAGAUUCAUUCCCCUUCCUUUCCCCUAGUAUAGGAUCAAUUGUAAUAAUAUUGUACUAAAAAAAACAACAGAGUAGCACAUGAGUUAGAACACUAUGUUAAAUAAGGUUCUUCAGUGGACUCCAUACUUAGCUCACCUCCAAAUUUUGAAAAGCAAUUAAUGUUGGAUGAUUUCUAAAAAUGUGAGUAAUAAAAUUUACUUUGUUUUCUACAUAAAAGAAAAACAAUAGAUCAUUUUACAUUUAUUCAAGUCUCUUAGUGCUCAAACACUUGCAAAUAUAAGACGGUCAAUAUAAUAAUAGGGAUUGAACCUUUUCAAGUAGUUUUAAUUACUUCGACUUUUGAAAAAAAAAAAAAAAUAUAUAUAUAUAUAUAUAUACCAUAAUUGAGCUAAAUGCAUUGUACUUGUUUCGAAAUCUAUAUAUCAAGGAACAUAUUUUUCCAAUUUAACCAUUUGCAACUCUAAAACGUACCUCUAUGAAAAGAAAAAAAAAUCAUGAUCUUGGAGCAGUUGGUAAGAAGGUUGCUAAUACUAAUGGGAAAUCGCAAAUUGGAUUCCUGCAUGUGGGCUUCAGAUUCUCUGUCCCCAAAAUAGUAUCUGACCCUUUGUUGUACAACUGUCAUGUGUCUCUAUCCUUUUGUUAACCCAAACUCAAAUAAAUCGAUAAUAAUCGGUUUACAAGUUUUGUUAACCCAAAUUCAAAUAAAUCGAUAACUCAAAACUUUUUAGAUAUUCAAAUAAACCGAUAAUUCAAGAAUGUUAGAUAUUGGAAUUUGAUUCUCAAAAAAUCAUCUGCUGGAUAAAAAUAAAAGAAUAGUAAUAAAAUUUCAACCACUCUUACUAAGUACACCUAAAACACUGCUAAUACUUGAAUAACCAUGGUUUAUCAUGUUGGUUUGUAAUAUCAAACCCUUGCCUAUUCAUAAUUCAAAAUUUCUAAAGAUUGUCGGAUUUUCCAUCUGUUGUGCAUCUACAAACAAAACCACCGGGACAUGGCAUGGGACAGCCGCAAAUUUCAUUACAAGCAACUAAACUUGAACUCGGUUGUCUGGAAAUGACAUUAAGGUCUAUAAAGUCAUUGACACUUGAUCCACUGAAAUUGUGUCCUACUUCAACCUAUAAAUGUAGAAAAAAUAAUUAUAAGUACUAAAAUAUUGAGAUGAAAUUCUGUUAAAAAGAAAAUAAAAAAAAGUUUUGAGUUAUCGAUUUAUUUGAGUUUGGGUUAACAAAAAGAUAGAGACACGUGACAGUUGUACAACAAAGAGACAGAUGGGACAGAGACUAUUAUGGGGACAGAGAAUCUGAAGCCCCUGCAUGUGACGCCUUAAAAAGUUCUGGUUCAAACCUUCACCUCUCGAGUAAGAGUCGAAUUUUGCGGGCACUCCCAGAUCAAAUCUGAAUUAGACUCACUGAUGGUGUGAAUACUGGGUGCUCAAAGCAAAAAUAAAAAAAUAAUAUUUGUUUAAUCCGAGGAAAGGGGAAAAGAGAAUAGAGCUAGAUGCCAGAACUGCUUUUAGUCACUUCCAUGGACCAAGCCUUGUAAUGGUCUUAAGGUUGGAGCAGCAAAAGCUGCAGGCAUUGGAGGACGUGGAGCAACUAAGGUCGCCCGAGUAACAACUAAGGGCCUAGGCCUACAUUUGCCGGUCCAUUAGUACUGGGCGAAGGAACCGACGCCCACGGACACGGUGCCUGAGUUUCCUGAGAGAUCUUUUCAUUAAUUGUUACUUAUGAUGUAGUGCUACUACAGUGCUAUAUUUUUCUCCCGUCUGGACUCAUGUAUAGUCCUCCAAAUUUAUUGAUUUUUUUAAUAAUCAAAAUUACUGAAAAAUACAAUUUAAAGUGAAACCCACAAAUUAACACCAUUAAAUCAAUUGAUAAUUGAAAGUGCUAUUGAGGACCUUAAAUUCAGGAUAACUACUCCACAAUCUUUCGAUGUGGAAUGAGAAGCUUAUACAAUUCUGAGUUUUCAGAUUAUGGAAAAAUUUGGAUUCAACACAAAUAACAAAACUUAGUUACACUGCCUAUGCAUAUGCACUACACAUUUUAUGGUGCACAGCUUCAAACAAUUAAAUUUAUGGGGCAUAGAACCACCAUUAGAAUCUAAAACAUUUAUUAGUCACCAUAAAAAGGCUCGAGUAUCUAAGUAACAAUAAUGUUCGUAUAUUUUCCAGUAGUCUUAAUUUUGUUUCAACAUCAUUGAGUUGGUUGUUGCAGUAGGCCUGCUUUUGUAGGAAGCAUCAAGAAUGAAGUGAUAGAUUGCUAUUCCAGCUUGGUACUCGUGCAAUCACCAAAAUAUCAGUCAUCAUUGUUGUACACAAAAUUGAUGAUACAGGUUAAAAAGAAAAAAAACAGCAACACUUGGGAAUCCUAUACAGGUUACAGGCUUACAGCUGGAAGGAAGAACCGACGGAGACCUGAUAUAAUUCAAAAUAAAUAUAUAACUGAACAGAUGUGCAAGAGAGCACAGUAAUGUGAAAGUAAGUAGGUCCAGGAUGGAAAAUACCAAAUUUAUGAUUUAAGAGCUUUUAAUUUCUGAUACGCAAAUUUGGGGUUGAACUACUUGGUAAAAUUCAGUUAGCAAGUAUCUACACUUUCUUUUGAAAGUUUCAACCCUUUGUGAAUUGUGAAAGACGCGGUGAUGCAAACAACCUUUCAUAGAUUUUUUUGAUAGUCGAGUUCUUUAUCAUCAAUUAUCAAGGAGUUGAGCCAUUUGGACUUGGCGUUUGGUAUUUUAUGCCGACGCUUCAGCAUCAUUGGUACCUGCGGUCAAUGUCAACUUUAACCUCUUCUUUUCUUCUCCAGUCUAUUUUUCCCGCAUAUUUUUUUUACCAUACCCCGACUACCGUAUUUACUUACUUACGUAACGAUGCUGUCAAAAGAUAUACUAUAGUGCUUUGUUUUGCAGCAUUAAAAGGCUCAAUCAAGGAGCGUGAACCUUUGAAAGGCAGAAUGAUUGACUGGUAGAAACCUUUGCGCGUCCACCCUAGAAAAAAGAUUUAAGGACUGAGCACGGAGGGAUCUAUCUAAAAUUAAAGGCGAUCGAUCGGUGAAAAAAAAGUGGCGUCUGAAAAAGCAAAUUAUCACCGGAUAAUGUUAUUAAUUAGUACAAGAUUAGCGCUAGGAGUAAGGUUACAAUUAUCACCAGAUCCACUUGGAAAAAGAACAGACAAAAGGCCUCUCAGGUCGGCGGAUGGAGUCAUUAGGUAAAGUAAGAUGCCAAAACACAUGACUUUGACACGUCUUUAAUUAUUCAGUUGUUCAUCUUUAAUGAUUCAUUUGACUCUAUCCUGAAUGACGUCCAUCCCCAUCUCGGUCGGAUCCGUUGCCUGAACUUCGUAGUGGAUCCCAUCCAGCACUCUCCUCAGUCCAUCUUUUGAAGUUGCGUACAGCAUUUUUGCUCUAAUUCUUGAUUCCUCCGGAGACCUGAUCGAGAUCAUCAACGUACUUGCAACACAUCAACUCAAUAUAACAGACAAAAAUGAUCUGUCUAAUUAAUUAGUAAUAAACACAAAAGAUUACUUCUGCAUAGUUGGCCCAUAGAUUUGUUGAAUUCGCUCUAGUCUCUAGCGAUAUUGACAAAAGGGGAAUAAAUGUAUGCAUAAAGAUUGGUAUCAGGGGGGGAACCACUGAUCAGAGAUAAAAGAAGCAGAAGAAAAUCAGUUACUAGAAUGAUAAGCAGGUGGGAGUAGUGGCGGACCAUGCGAUGAAGAAAAUCUUGCUCUUCCGGCAAUUGUCGACGGUGACAAAGUCGAAAUCAAAGACUGCAUAACGGCAGUCGUCUUUGGGCAGGGAGGCAGCAAGUUGUUCGUAGCCUUCACCAGGUCCACCCACCUUGUCCACCGUCACCAACCUAGAACCUUCAUCGAUCUUGAACACUAUGAAUCUGUGCACCUUCUUCCACUUCAUCUCCAUGAACGAGUUCUUGCAUUCCUCCGUUACCCACAUCCCUGUUGUAGCCUAUCAUGCACGCAUAUAAUAUGUUCAACAAGACAAACACGAUGUUGCACGCUAAUAAAUAAUUGGGCCUGUGUCUCCUAUACAUGCUUGAUCUGCAGCUUGCCUCAAUAUAUGUGCAUAUGUGUACAUGUAAGCCCGGCCAAAUUAAAACACAAAUUACUAAAGAAGAUGAAUUAUGCAGAGAAAACGAUGAUCAGUGUGCAAUAAUUGAAUGAACGAUAGAGAAGGUAAUUUGAGGGUGCACCAUUUUGAAGGCCAUCGCCAUCUUGUUUGUGGUUGCAAAGUUGAGAGAAGCUGCAGGCGGUCAAUUUUGUCAGCUAAGCAAGCGAAUUGAUUUAACAUCCAAGUGUGGAUCGAAUAAAUGGACCAUAGGGGUUUAUAUACAAACUUUACUACCUAAAAAGCCAUUCAGAUUUAUGGUAUAUUACAAAGGUGUCCUCAUGAGAUGAGAUCUAUUUCUUGGCUUCUGUACUCUGUGCUCUGUAGUCCUGGGGGUGGAUCUGAAUGACGGAAAUGACCCUCCAAGGGAGCUCUGGUUGCCUUGGAAAAUGUUGCCUGGUUGACCAAAUGGAGGAGUUGAUGUUCUCUAGGCUAUCGGCCUCAAAGAAUGUUUUUUCACACGAGGCGGGGGCCUUUGUGAAUUAAGCAUAGUUAAAUACUAGUACUACUAAGUACUAACUAAAUGGAUCAAGGUUAUAUAAUUCUGUAUUGCCCUUGGUUUAUAUAUUUGCCAAUGUUUGAUCUUCUUCUUAGCUAUAUAAAGUCAUUGAUGAGUUUCCUGUAAAAAAACCCUCUGCUUUCUGCGCAUCCAUCCUUGAACUCAUCCAUUCGAUCCCAUCUUCUUUCCAGUUCCACUGGACCACGCCAUGGCCAUUGACAUUAUUGCUAAAGUUGAUGGCUUUUUUGCUAGUUGUCAGCGACUCACCAACUUGGGUAUAGUUUAGGUGUUUGAUAUCUGCUCCUGUGUUUGUGUAUUGAAAAUCUUCACCUGUUCAUCAGAUUACCCAAUAUGUAUUUUCGUAAAAAUUUCCGGUCAUCUCCAUCGACAACCAGAUUGUAACAGUAAUUUCUGACCGGAAAUCAAAUGGUACAUAUGCGAAACGAUACAUAUCCAUUCUCAUGCUUGAACCUAAAAAAUCUUGCUCAUGAAUCAGAAUUUUAUUAUACAAAAAUGCGUUAUAGACCGCGCUCAAUCAGAGAGAAGAGAAUACAGUGCAAACAUGUGGUCUCUAGGAAGCGGGCCUCAUCACCGACGGUACACCUACAUGCCCCCGCAUUUCCCUCACUUUGAGUUCCUCAACUCGAAAAGAACCUUGGCGUGGAAGCAAAGGUGAAGAGUCCAUUCGUCCCCCAUCGACAUCGAUUGGCAAUAACAACUACUGUAGCGAUAACAUGUGGUACGUAUACAAAUUCUGUGGAAAGCGGAGCGGUGAAAUUUCUUGCUUUAAAGUAAUUGAGUCAAUGUCUCACCGAUAGAGCUUGAGCUUCCUUUGCCAGUUUUUUUUUUUUCUUUUUUUUUUCUUUUUUGGGUAUCUUUAUGAUUGAGAUCUACGAUCUAUCUAUCACUUUGGUGAGUUGGUCCCUAAUUUUUUCUAAACUAACUAAUCCCUAAGCACCUUUAGGCAUCCCAUAAAAUGUUUCUAGGAAUUUGGCAGAUAAGAAGAGCGCAGCAUUAUCCUGAUCGUGUUCACAUCGAAAUAGCAGUAUAGCAAAUGCAUGUAAGCGGGAUAUGAUUGCAAGAGACAUUCCACGAGCACCACAGAAACAGAGAGAAUGGAGAAAAACAACAGAGAGCUUACAAACACUAACGUCUAACAAUGUCUAUCAGAGCAAGUGAACAGAUAGAUGAUGGAGAGUUGGACAUGGGAACGUGGCUCUUUCCUGCGGCUGGCCCCUAUUCAUUCCAUCAAAAGAAACAUAAUAAUAUAACAUCUCCAAACUUAACUGGAUUUGCAGUCCAACGAUUUCAUUAUGAGCUGAUUUGAUAGAUGAGGCAACUUGUAUGACUAUGAUUUUUUUUUUUCAAAGAAUAAGAAAACAGUACAAAAAUAAGAUAAAAGAGGAAGGAAGUUAAAUGAAUUCGAGGUAAUUGAUCUUUGAUACCAAUGGUUAAAAACGACUUCCUUGCACCUUAAAUGAUCAUUAUGAGUCAAAAUGUUCAGUAAUUUGUGAAAUCACAAAUUCGAUGGUUCCGGGAUUCUUGAAUAAAAAUGAAAUAAAAUCCCACUUUCUCGUGGCCAAAGAUAGGGCAGCCAGGUUAUGGAUAUAGUUGAUUUAUUUUCUUACCUGCUUCGUCCCAAACAUGUCAUGAAUCUUUUGUCGAUUCUCAGCCUCUUCCUCGUGGAAGUACCCAAAUUCGAUGGUGCUGCAUAGUUCUCAACUCAGGUGGAUGUGCCACAGCAUGUGUUGUGAAUUGAUUUUGGCUCAAAAUUCUCCUCGCUCGAUUUUCCAACAUUUCCGACAUAUGUUGCUAAAUUUGUGAUUUGCAUGUUGGGAUGUGUCACGAGGUGUUUACUUCCCUUAGCAAAUCACACACGUAAUGGCACUGGUAAGCCACGCUACCAGUCAACCUACAAACUUACUUGCACACAAGUAUUCAAUAACGUAGAACAUUUAGACAAAAUAAGAGGAACACACGUACAAAUUACAGCCAGCACGGCUAACCUUGCAUUUCACAAUAACGAUUACAAUGAAUUUUUACAAACACCUGGCGUGCAGAACUUCUAAGGAUGAUUCUCACUAUUUGAGACUCUUUCCCCUUUAGUCUCUGUCUAAUCCAUUAUUUAUAGGCACAUUUACGGGGGACAAGAGACUCAACCGCUGAUCUUAUCUGAACAUCCACAAAAUUAGAAAUCCGCUAAGAACGAAGCUGAGUUGGCUGGUAACCGCCAACAACUCCCAACAAUGGUCAACAACUGCCCAACAUUCCUUUUUGGAGUGCACGGCAACGGCCGCACACUUUUGCGCGCCCAGCUUUCCCGCCAUCGUCAACGUUUCGCGUCCAAUCUUGCCCAACACUUAGCAACUUAGGCACCGUGGUUCCUAACACUUGAAACUACCCGAAACAACCUACCGAGCCAUAGUCAUUCCGUGAUCUUAGCCCCUAGCCCUUGGUCUUGAUUUGACUUAGUCACAGUUAUCCCUCUAUAUAUAUGUCUUAAGGCAUCCCUUUUUUCCCAAUUAAUUUAGAAACAUCUGAUGCCUCUAAAACUUUCUCCAACUCAUACUUAGGCUAGGAAAAUAUCAUCUAACACUGAUCCACUUGUUCCCAACAAGCUUCACCUUCGGCCUUCCCACCUAAGCCAUGGCUGGCACAACUUGGUCACGGGCCCGCGUGUUCCGUCUGGACUGCGCCCUAAGGGGCUAACAAACCACCUCUACCUGAAGAGGUUGACGACCUCGUCAACUUGGCUUGCUUCCGCAUGUUCCUCAGGUACUCAGCAAUUUUAUUUUCGAACUGCCACAAGGUCACGUCCCGUUCCCAAGUAGCGUCCAGCUUGGUCUCCCCCUUCCACUGGACUAGAUAAUCUGUCCGUCUAUUCUUUUUGCUCUGCCCCAUGGUUCUGUGAUCCAGCAUUGCCUCCACAUCUUUCUGGAAUUGCUUGCGGAUCACCGGCGGAGUACGUUUUGCUUGCCUCCGUCCUUCAUCCAUCUCAUCCUGGUUGAAGGAUUUUAGGAAACUCACAUGGAAGGUCGCGUGGAUCUUGAGUCUGUCGAGCAGUUUUAACCGAUAGGCUACAUGACCCACCUUCUUGAUCAUUUCGAACGGUCCAUCGUACUUCGGAAUAAACCCACGAUGGACUGUCUUGCUGCUUACUUUCUUCCAAAUCUGGGGAGUCAGUUUCAGCAUCACUUGAUCUCCCACCGGGAAUUCCAAGUCCGGGUCUAUGUUGGUCCGCAAACUUCUUCAUGCAUUGUUUCUCCACUGGCAAGCUAUCCCUCACUUCGUCCACCAGUUCGUGCUUAGCACGAGCAAACCGGUGUACUGCUGGGCAACGACUCCUGCCUUGAAGUGCAAUUUCAUGAGCAGUCAGAGGUUGUUGUCCAUUUAUCAAUUCGAACGGACUCAAUUUCGUUGCUGAUGACUUGUGCAAAUUGUAGCAAAAUUGCGCGGCAUCCAGCAAUUUCAUCCAAUUCUUCAGACUUGCCGUCACGUAAUGGUUUAGGUAUUCCUCCAACAAGGCAUUGAUCCUCUCCAUUUAUCCGUCGGUCUGAGGAUGGGCGGCAAUAGAGAACUUAAAUUCGGAACCACCCAACAGUCCGAACAACACGAUCCAGAAUCUCCCCGUAAAUCUGGUAUCCUUAUCACUUAUGAUGUUUUCGGGUAAAUUGAAGUAUUUCAAACAUUUCUGAAAAACAACUCAGCGACAACAUCAGCCGGGCACGCCUUCGGCGCACCAAUAAAGAUAGCAUACUUAGAAAAUCUAUCUACAAUUAUGAAAACAGAAGCCAUACCAUCGACCUUAGGAAAUCCCGAAAUGAACUCCAUUGAGACCGAUUGCCAUGGUCAAUCAGGGAUUGGCAAAGGUUGCAACAAACCUGACUCCUUUUUCCUUUCCACAUUAUCUUGUUGGCACACAAGACACGUUCUCACGUAUGCUUCGAUAUCUUCUUCCAUCUUUGGCCAGUAGAAGCUCCGCGACAACAAGACCCGUAUUCGUUCCACUCCGGGAUGACCAGUUCAAGGAGUGUCAUGGGUCUCUCUCAGCACCUGUCGCCUAAGUUCCCCUCCUGCUGGGACAUAAGCUCUACUACUCUUGGCAAAGAGUAAGUCGUCUUCAAGCCAGUAAUGACGAAUUUUGCCCUCACAGACUUGAGUCAUUUGAACUUGUCGAUAUCCUGAUCUCAAGUCAAUUUUGGUGUAGAAUCAUGCCCUCGCCAGACUGUCGAACAAGGCACAAUAAUCCAUGUAAAAUCUCCAUGUUUCGUUUGCUUUCUUUCGGAAUAAUGCUGGAGCACUGGAGCACUCAAUGGUCUCAGCGCUUGGCUAUCUAACAGUUAGUUCAGUUGGCACCGCAACUCCGCCAACUCCAUCGAGGACAUACGAUAAGGAGCUUGGGCAAGGGGUUGGGCCCCUGAAACCAACUCAAUUCUGUGCUCCACAGCAUGUCUAGGAGGCAGCCGUUUCGACAACUCCGCAGGCAUGAGGUCUACGAAUUCCUCCAACACAUGAGCCACGCCAUCGGGCACUUCCUGGUACAUGUCAGGUUUCAUUUCGACUAACGCGGCAAUGUACAUCACUUCGCCAUGCCUAAGGCUGGACUCAAUUUGUACCGCCAACACCAAAUUCUUUCGUUGGUUGCUCUUUUGUUUUGGCAACCUUACUACAGCAAUAAAGCCUGGAUUUUGGUCGUCAUCCACUAUAACACCGUCCAAGUGCGGAAUUGGGUAGAUCCUGUUGGCAACCAUGAAGUUCUUGCCAAGGAUCAAGUCAAAGUCGUCCAUUUGACUGGCCAUGAGGCUGCACCAUCCCUUCCACGGCCCCAACUCCAAUUCUACCGUUGCUACGCCCAACACUGGCUUGAUUUCAGAGUUGACAGCCUUCAACUUGAAACCGAAGUCUUUUAACUUCAAUCCGAACCGAUUCACCACGCAUUCCGUCAUACAACUGUGCGAUGCUCCAGUAUCCACCAUCGCCAGUAUCUGGUUACCAUUCAACGUAACUGAUAGGGCAUAAUUUGUUGUUAAUUUUAUGGUUAAUUUCCCUCUUUGUUCUUGUCAAAUAUUAUUUUAAUUGUUGAAAUGUACUUAUAUUUGAUAUUUGGCCCUAAUUACAGGAAGUGGAGCAAACAAGUGCUAAAAAGGAGACUUUAUUGAGAAAAACACUCCACAUGGGAAGUUCUAAAAGGAAAUACAAGCCGGGCUCCACAGGAUGCUACAAAAAGGGAUUUCCUAUCUUUAUGCUGAAAAGGGUGGACUUGUACUAGGAGUCUUACGGGUAAAGAGGAAACUAAAAACAAGAACUUUGGCAAAGCUCCAAUUCUUUGGCACUUGGACUCUCAAUUCAGUGGGGACCACUAGAGAUAGCAUUAGAUUUUCUUUUGGCUUUAAAAGAAGACAAACGUACGGGAGGUUUUCUUAUCAAUAGUUUUAGCUUAGUUUUUAGCAUAAUUUAAUUUUAUUCUUUCUUAGUUCCUUUGAUGGCCUGGACCUCAAUAAAAUUACUUGGAGAUUUUUUCAUGAGGCGUGGCUAAAUUUCUCAUUUAAUCGAAGGUCAAUUUGAGGAUUCGGUCCCGAACAUCUGUGAGAUCUAAUUAUUUUACUUAUUUCCUUUAUUUAUUGGUAUUUGUACGUUUCCUGAUUUAAUUGCCUAUGCUUGUUAUGUUAUUUGAAUGUCAAGGGCCCGAUAUUCGAAUUAAUCUAAUAAUCUACUGUCAAAUUAAUUGAUUGAAUCCGUAAUUGUUCAAUUGAUUAAUACCAGUGGCGACUAGCGUGAUUGGUUUCAUGUUAGGGAAACGUAUGAUCUAACUUAAACAAACCCUCGUAGCGUGUUUGUUGGUUAGGAUUGAAUUUUUCUAAUUAUUAAUGCAAACGAGUAAUUCAAUCCUAUGGUCGUACUUAGAAUUAUUUCUUGGUUAGGGAAAUAGUUAACGGUCGUACCUUAACUAUCGAGAAAUUAAGGAAAAGCUGGUUGUUCAUCGCGUGUAUGACAACUAUAACUAAUCUAUUAAUGAGUAAUUGAAUUAUCUUUGCAUCGAUGAUUAGUUGCAUGGACCGUGUCUGAAAAGUUGUAACUUUGGCUAGAGUCAUAUUGGUUAUUGAUUAAUUUCUAUUUAUUUCUAUUAGUUGUUUUAUUAGUUAGUUAAUUAGUUAUUUUAUAUUCUCCAAAAACCUCCCAUACUUCGGACUCUAAAAGAAAUAAAUUAUCCCCAAUCCCUGUGGAUUCGACACUGCUUAUCACUAUCUACAGAAAUUAUAUUUUGUUUGAGCAGAUAUUUAUUAUUGCACAGGUUCGGCACCUGUCAGUAACUUGCACAUACAUCAAACUAUUGUAAGUAGUGCGACCAUUAUUACCUGUGAUGGGGUUCACGAACUGCAUGGGGUUGACCCGUGCAUCCUACAUCUCGAACUGGUCACCAUCAUCUUCUACUAUUAAGGCACUAACAUUCUGAUCCUUUUUUUUGUUGGGAUAAUUGCGGGCUAAGUGUGGUCCUUCGCAGUUAAAGCAGCCAUCCUUCUUCAGAUUUGAUGCUUGCUUUUCUUUAGAAGAAGAAGCACCGCCGGUUUCGGUCGUAGACAUCGACUACUUCUUUUUCUUCUUCUUCACGAACGGUCCACCUUUCAGAUCCUUGCCCUUCUCCUUCUUCUUGUCAUUGGAUCCCAUGGACGUGAAGUCUAUCAACUUCCCUGUCGCAACGAGUGCUUGAGACACGGUCUGAACAUUCUGUCUUCGCAACUCCAUCUGCACCCAUGGCUGCAGUUCACGGAUGAAGGUGUAGAGUCUGUCUUCCUCAGACAUCUCCUUCACAUCCAACAUCAGGGUCUGGAACUCAGCAACGUACUCGUGUACGCUCUUACUCUGUUUCAAGUUUCACAAUGCGUCCCGAACUUUUCACGAAACAUUCGUGGGAAGGAAUUGCUUAUUUAAUUCCUCCUUCAGUACAUCCCAAGUCUCAAUCUUGGGUCUGAUGGAGUCUGAUUGCACCACUCUCCAUCACAGCUUUGCAUCACCGCUAAGGUACAUUGAUGCAAUGCACACUUUCUCCCCUUCUGGAACGUUAACAGCCUUGAAGUACUGUUUGACAUCCCACAAGAAAUUUUCCAGAUCCUUCGAACUCCUAUUCCCCUAGUACGGUUUCGGCUCUGGGACUUUCACUUUCCCCUUCGAAGAUUUUUGAACAGUCUGUGUGUUAGAAGAGCCAACUGCCUUCUUCAACAUAUCGAUCUCGAAUUGUAAAGCCACGAUCUCUGUAUGGGACGAAGCCACUUCGUUCCUCGGCGCCACAACAUCCCCAACGGAAGAAACCGUCUGCCUGAUUUCCUCCAUCUGCGUUGUUAAGGUGUUGAUCGUCUCUCGAAUCUGCAACAGAACUUCCAUGACGUUGAAGCCCUCAGGAACGUCUCCUAGACGCUGCAUCAAGUUCUCGAAGGCAAGUUCCUGAUGUUGCAACCGCUCUUGGACAGUAUUCCCGUGUCCAACCAUCAUUACCUUCAAAAGAGACACAACAAAAGCACGGUCUAAUGGAUCAGAGCCGUGCUCUGAUACCACGUUAUUACGAGGUGUUUAUUUCUCUUAGCAAAUCACAUACGUAAUGGUACUAGUAAGCCACGCUACCAGUCAGCCUACAAACUCACUUGCACACAAGUAUUCAACAACGUAGAACACUUACGCAAAAUAAAAGGAACACACGCACAAGUUACAGCCAACACGGCCAACCUUGCAUUUCACAACAACGAUUACAAGGAAUUUCUACAAACACCUUGCGUGCAAAACUUCUAAGAGUGAUUCUCACUAUUUGAGACUCUCUCCCUUUUAGUUUCUGUCUAACCCGUUAUUUAUAGACACAUUUACGAUUGACAAGAGACCCAACCGCUGGUCUUAUAUGAACGUCCACAAAGUUAGGAACCCACUAAGAACGAGACUGAGUUGGCUGGUAACCGCCAGCAACUGCCAGUAACGGUCAGCAACUGCCCAACAUUCCUUUUUGGCGCACGGCAACGGCCGCACACUUCUGCGCGCCCAGCUUUUCCGCCAUCGUCAACGUUUCGUGUUCAAUCUUGCCCAACACUUAGCAACUUAGGCACCGUGAUUCCUAACACUUGGAACUAUCCGAAACAACCCACCGAGUCAUAGUCAUUCCGUGGCCUUAGCUCCUAACCCUUGGUUUUGACUUGAUUUAGUCACAGUUAUCCCUCUAUAUAUAUAUAUAUAUAUGUCUUAAAGAAAAACUUACAACUAUUAGUAGAAGCAUCCCUUUUUCCCCAACUAAUUUAGAGACAUCUGAUGCCUCUACAACUUUUCCCAACCCAUACUUAGGUUAGGAAAACAUCAUCCAACACUGAUCCACUUGUUUUCAACAAACUUCACCUUCGGCCUUCCCACCUAGAUCAUGACUGGUCGAACUUGACAAUGACCGCACGCGUUUCGUCUGGACUGUGCCCUGAGGGGCUAACAGGAUGUCAAUAAAGUUUCUAAUUUCGUCGCCUUUUGCCAUGAUGAUCCCCAAGGCCAAGCAGAAGCUAAUGAAGGGCUCGGUAGAAAUACGAUAGUUUGACAAGUAUGAAGCUAGCUAACAUCAGUAAUUAAUUCCGUGGCCUAAAAUGAAUCAAACCACCAUGCAAUGUUAAACACCGAGUUUGCACGUUGGCAGGUCUGCUUUCAAGAGGUGCAAUGUCGCCGCUGAUACCUCAGAGAUACAGAACAAGAGCCUGAUAACUUCUUCAAGAAAGCCUUGUUUUCUUAUUGAAUCUACCUCUGUUGAAAAGAGUCAAAUGAACUAACAAACACAUAUGCACAAUCUUCCGCCACGCACUUAAACAUCCAAAUACAAAAUUAAUACAGACACAAGAAAACGUAAACUCUAUACAACCAUUGGUGUUCUAGCACUAAACGCUGAUCUCUGGCUCCUACUUAUUGGGAGGUGAACAUAAACUUCAUGAACCUCUUGUUUACAAACAUCAUCCUUGUCCCUAUCAAUGGCAUAGCACACAUAUACGGUGUCAAUCACAUUAUCCAGCACAUUCACAAAGAAGCCCAGCACCACCAAGAGCAGUAGCCAUGCCAUAGCAGCAACGAAGUAUGCCUCCACACCAAGAUGCCCAACAGCUCUUACUAUAAGACAGACCUGCAUGAGGAAGACAGGAGUACAGCGUGUGAGAAUAAACAGAAACACAUUUACUCUAUAAUACAUAUUUUAAUAUCUAUAGCAAAUAUAACAUCCUGCAGAAUUGAUCCUCCACGUAGCUAAUCUUGAAUGCCCACAGUUAAAUAGACUUGAAUGCCAAUACCAACAUGUCAAAGCAUAAUGUGAAUAAAAGAAAAAGCAAAACGUCUCUCCCUCUCUCUCUCUCUCUCUCUCUCCCUCUCCCUCUCCCAACACACACACACACAUACACAUGCAAGCACAAAUACACAUGCAGAGACACAUUUUGGUGCAGGUUUCGCAACGGGAAAGGUCCAGAGAGGAUGCUUCAGCAAAGUUCUACCCGCAAUUUAACCAAAAACCUCAUUUAUCCCAUCUCUUGUGAUAAGCAACUUCAUCUGGUUGUUUUCAAACUUAAUAUUUGAUGUAGCCUGACUCAAUAAUGAGCAGAAUCUCACGAGUUUCAAUUUUAGCUUGCAGCCAAAAUAGGACAAAGUCUUCCUGGAAGCAAUAUCUAGCCAUGGAUGGUAAAUUGAUUAGGCACGUGUCACAGGCAAAUAAGUCAUAUGAUACUCAUUAUGUUUAUCUUUAUAAAACUAAUCUUUUAAGAUUCGGUGGUUCAGCCAUCCAACAACUAAGUUUAGAUUAUCUCACCAACAUGCAGUGUGCACAAAUAAUUACUUGUUAUGCCGAGUUCAGUCAGAAAAAAUUCAAGUCUAUAUUUUCUUCAAAUGGAAAAUUCACAAGGGACAAAUAGUGAACUCACCACUAUAGCAUAUAGUACUGAAAGAACAAAAAUUAUUCCUGCCAGAACACGAGUGGAGACAGUCUCCACAAAAGCGGCUGAGAGAAGAUUGCGCUUCAACAGUUCAUAGGUCAUCCUUGCAGAGGUGCAGUAAGCUUCACCAGUUAUAGCUGCAAAGUUUAUAGUGAACUUAUUAAGAAAGUCAAAUGCUGCCAUUAGGGCAUUCACACAGCACCGUAGGAUUAGGUUCACAAUUCCAGAAGCAUCUUCAUUCCUUGCAUUGUCAACCAUUGCUCGCACAAAGCGAACAACACCGACAAGCAAUCCAGAUAAACAUACCGUGCCCGAGGAGGGUCCAAAUGCAUUUCUGCACGUUUUCCAAAGAAAAAUGAGACAUUGGACAAAUCAAAUGGAGAAGAUCGCAUAAAAUAAACGCAUGUAAACAGUUUUACAUGCAAUUUGCCUGACAGUCCAUAUGUUAAAUUAAAUUUCUAAGCCAUUAGCACAAUAAAGCAUUAAAACACCAAAGAUGUACAUCAAUUUCAGCCCUCCAUAAGUUCAAAAAUAAUUAUCCUUCCUCUUCUCCCUUCAGGUGUUCUGCUUAUACAAGAAAAUGAUGGCAGUGCAACUCCAUUGCUAACAAAAGGUUUGUUCAUAUAUUUUAACAACAAUAGAUGAAUUAUCUUCAGUAGUAAUACACUUAAUACUAGUGCACUUUUUCAAGUUGUUUUAUCAGUAUGAUAUCCCUUCAAAAGUAAAAACAUGUAUUUGAGUUCUGACAACUAAAUUUUGGAUAAACUGUUGUGUAAUAAGACAAAAGGAUCAAAAGUCAUUUUGGAGUCCCCUGAAAUUUUGGAAGAAAAAUUACUCGUGUGACAAAAGGAAACAUUAAAUUGUAAUAUAUUGAAUCAGGUCAUAUCGCCAAGAUUUUGAAAACUUGUAAAUUACGAUACCUGAAUCUUGCUAAGCAAUCAUUGGCCAAGAAAUUUUGAAGCUUUUCAAGAAAGUGUUAAUUUUGUUUGCAACAGCUGAGCAGAAAAUACAUGCAACUACUUACAUUUGGAGUAGUAGUACCACAAGAAGUCAUUUCAUCCUACAAAGGUUAGAGCAUCUUCUCAAUUACAUUCUUCAAACUGCUUUUGGAGUUCCUAAACCCUUCCCCCCCCCCCUCCCCAAAAAAAAACAAAAAACAAAAAACAAAAAGGUGAUUGGAGUUCCAAGACCAGUGCCUACAAAUGCUAAGGAAGAUUUGGAGAUCCUUCUAGUCUUUCAUCGAAGAAUCCUGGAAUUGUGUAUAAACUAUGCUGACUUCUUCGAGGAUUACUAUCAAAACUAAGUACACUAAUAAGGAUGUAAUCACCAUAUAUAGCCAUUUUAACAGAUAUUGGAAGUACUAAACAGCAAGUAAAAUUCAUCUAAGUGCAACUAAUUUAAGAUACAGCUGUUUUUAUGAUUUCAAACCUAAAUGCUAAAUGAGUGCACAAGCACAAGCAGUAAAAAAUGAAUGCAUUUAAAAAACAAGACAUGAAAAGAUACUCAAGUCCCCUAUCUGUUGCAAGAUCAUCUUUAAGCUAUAUACCUGAUUGAGUAGAAACACAAUUGUCUUACUAAAUUGUCAUCCAGCAUAACUUAAAUAGGAUUUUUCUAUUGUGUGCCGUACGGGCAUGGCAUAAAAUGUAGGCCAACUACUUUUUGUCUGAAAAAACUUCCUAAGCAAAUGUAUACGCAACUUAAUUCUAAAGAGGUAUUCAAAUAUUUCCUUUAUCCUACCAUUUGUAUAAAAAUUCAAACUUUGGGUUCUACUAAACCACAAUCCAAGGCAGUAACAACGACUCACCUUCAAACCAUAGAAUCAUGACAGUGCAAAUAAUCAAUAGAUUACCAAAAUGACUAACAAGAAUCCAAACAUUUUACCAAGCUUUCUCAACCAACUCAAAAUUCAUUCAGAACUUGAAUUCUUAGGGGAGGUUAAAAGAGAGAGAGAGAGAGAGAGAGAGAGAGAGAGAGAGUAUAAAAGAGCAGGCCCAGAAAGUAACCUCAAGGCGCUUCUUAAACUUUUCUUGGGCCUAUCAUAAUCCUUGGAGAAGUACCAUUGAGCUAUAGUCCCACUAAUGACAUAAACUUGAGCUUCAAUCAUUGCUGUAGCAGACCAAAGCAUUGUCAAAAUGGCCAAGGCAUAAUAAGCGGGUACCCAACCGUCCUGUUUCCAAACACAAUAGUAUUCACCAUUCUUUUCCUUGGGCACAAUCUUCCCAUUGAAUCUAGCAAAAACCAAGAACACGACAAUGGGUGCAUAAUAUAAAAAUAACCCCAAAGUCAAUCCUGGGAGCACCCCAAACAACCCCAGAUUCUGCCAUAGCCCAUUUGCAGCCACCCCAAUUAUGUUAAUGGUCAACUCAAUCCGAUGCCAAUUGACUACAAAAAUCCAGAUUACCACCCCAAUUAUCAGCAAUAUGAAAACAAAAAUCAAAAUUCGGUAGGCUAAAGGAAGAGCCUCGCUACAUCUAGAGCUGACAUGGCAAGCAACAAACCAGUAGAUAUCCAGAAACACAGGAACUAUCACAAAGAAAGGAAGUGAUAUGUACACUAGCUGCUUGGUGUAAUGCUUGAGCAACAAAAGUACAAACAAAACAAAGGGCACGCUCAAAAUUAAGGUGAUGACAAGGGUCCAUAUCAAGCUCUUCAAAACACUCGAUUUUAAAGCGUUAAUCGAAAUUGGGCUGCUAAAAAAGGAGGGCUGUGUAACUUCGAGAAUGGCGCAAGUGGAGGAGGUGGAAUUGUAGAAAAAAGAGGAGACUUGGGAGUGGUGGGGGUUCCUGUGGACGGAGGCAAAGAUGCCGAAAGCGAAGGUGGCGAGGAUGAGGAGAGAGAAGAGGAGGAGGAAGGGCCAGUCUUUGAAGGGACGGGGGCCGUAAUUGUAGGAGAUCUGGAGGAGCUGGGAGUGGUCAUCGCUGGGUUGGGAGGUGGUGGGGCGGAGGGUCGCGGGUACGGGUGAUGCGGGGUGGUCUAGAGGAGGAGGAUAAGGCUUGGAGAGGAGAGGUUGGGUGGGAGUGGGGUCUUGGAGAGAGGAAGAGAGUUUGUUGGGGUCUUCUUUGCUGCUGUCCAUGGCAUCAGAAGAUGACUUGGGAGCAGAGGUAUCUGGUGGGGGUUGGUGAGGGAGGAGCAGGAGGAGAUGCAGACGGAUUUGGCGGUGGAGUAUUGGCUAAUUCUUUCCAGCUGAGUUGGGUUGAGCUCAGCUGACAGCAGCCGAGAUGAGUUGAGUUGAGUUGAGUUGGGGGCUGGAGAAGAUAAUCUUAAUCUGAAUGGUCGAUGGGUACAUCAGAUUUUUGACAAUUACCACCACUCACCCUCGUUAUUAGUGGUAUAUCUCUUCACACUCUGAAGAAUUAAUUAGGCCUAAUAAUUAGUAGCAUUAUUACUUAAAGGUAGCAGCCCCCCUUUUACCAAAGAUGAUUAUUGUGAUUCUGAUCCAGAGUGCCACCCCGCCAUAGAUAAUAAAACUUGUGUCUUCACCUCCAGACAGCACUUGCCUUUCCAUGAAUUUCUGUUUUCUUCGUGGACAAGCAAGGGAGAUUUCAACACUGCAUUUUAUAUCUGUUUUUCAGGAAAAGGACUUAGAAGCUCUCAAGUUUCUUGACUUCAGAAGAGUUAUUUGUUAGCAGUAAUACGCUUGUAGUAUUGCUUUUGAAAAAUGUUUCUUCAUGCAAAUAAAUAGAUAGAUAUUAAAAAAUUAAGUCCACAUGGUUAAGUACCUGAUAUGUUCCCAGCAGAACCUUCAAAAUAGGGAACAUCCAGUAAUCAUGGCUUGAUAUAAUAAUAAGUAAUAAUAAUAAUAAUAAACUUUAAAAUAAAGAACAAAUUAAUGUGGAUCGUUUACUAUUUGAGUCCAGAGAAACCAACUAAAAUUGCUCCCAGGAAGAAACAAAAGCUGUUGUAUUAUAAAGUUGGCAGUAUAGUCUAAUGAACAUGAUACAAAACAGUAAAACUGGCUGUAAAACAAUCUAAGCCGAAUUUGUCAGUUUUACGAUCCAAAACUUCCUGCCGGUUGUCAUCCCGACAUACUAGUGGCUGCAUUGCUGUUGUCCUCAUCCCACCGGCUCUUAGGUAUCUCUCCAGAAUCCACAAUAAUUACUUUCUUCCUGGGAUUCCCACUGUAGGUGCCU